AGAACAAACAAGGUAAUUAGAAUUAAAGGUGUCGUUCGGACAACCUAUAGGCAUAAACAGUUUUUGCUCCUCCUCUUGAAUCGCUUCAGAUUCAUCAAUUGAUUCGGUGAACCAUAUGAGAUGCUUCCCACACCAUGAGCUGGUCUAGUACAGAAUUAGUUGAAUCAAGAAUAUAGCAGAUAUGCAACUAUAGUUGGGAGUUGAAGUGAAGCAGGAGUGCAUUUGAAAAAAAGAAAGCAAGAAGUACCUUUAUACCGAGAGUAAGAAAUUGCUGCAGACAUGUGGUUGUAUCUAAAUCAGUGUAUCUCAGAGCAGCCUGCAAAACUGACCUGUGUACCAUGCAGUGUGAUACACCUGAGCAUCUUGAAUCACCCCAGGAUACCUAAAGUGCCAUUAAGGGAACACUCAGCGAUGGAACAGCAAGUACUAAAUGGUCUAAUAAGUGACAUCCAAAUGGAGAGAGAGAGAGAAACAUGAGCAUGCUUAUCGAGCAAUGGGAACAAGAAAGGGAACACUUUCUUUAGUAAGUAUUUGGCAAUGUUUCCCCGAUAUGCAAGAAGUUACCUAUGCGGGGCUGCAUCGAGAAGAAGAUAUAGGGCUGAUCGAAUAUUUUAUCCUCGUUGCUCUAAUGCUCUUGUUGGCCUGUCCUGCACGACCUCUCCCUUCCACUCCUCGAGGCGCUCCUGCAGUCAGCGCAACCAUCCAUGAGACAAGAGGGGGAGAAGAGAGUGAGGAGGUGAAGGCAAACCUGAAUCACCUCCUGCUGCUCCGGCCGGCGAGCCUCCUUCAACUGCUGACCCCGACCACAUCCGCUGCUCGACCAACCCCGUUGCUUCCACCCAGAGGCGCAGGACUCGCCAUCACUUUCUACCUUCUCCCUCCGAACUGGCCGUCGUCGUGGAGCGCCUAAGGGUGGGAUCAUGCCCAAAUCCGCCGCUCCAUCAACCCAUGCCGCGCCCAAAGACACCGGAUUCUCCAUGGUGUUUUGCCUCCACCCCGACCCGGCCGCCGCCAUGGGGUCAGCCGAGAGGGAGGGAGCCGGCGGUGCGGGGGAGCAUAGGAGGUGGCUGAGGCGAGCGGGGUGAGGGGAGGCGACGACGUGGGAGAAGAGAUGGGGGAGCCGGGAGGAGACGAGGCGGGGAGGAGAGGGUGUGGCGGCUGUGGACUGGGGGGAGGGGAGGGUUCACGCCCACACCCAAGCCACGGGCUGCACGUCGCACACGCGGCGCGCGAGGAGCCGAUUGGGCAAACCCUGGAAAGGCUCACCCAGCCAAUAGCCAUUCGAAGCAAGCCCACCGGUCAUCGGGCGUGGAAAGAUAUUGCACGGUGAAAGCCGCUGAUGACCGGCUGGUGAAAUCCAACGGCCAAAAAAUCAAGUUGACCAAAUUCGACGGCUGACAAAGCUCCAAUCCGGGGGAGCAUUCUGGGUGCAGUUGGCUAGGGUUCUUAUAGGUUUAAAUUUUCAUUCUGAUCCACUAUAUGAUGAAUUGCUAUGAGCUGCUUCUGCUGCUGCUAUAUGAUGCAUUGCUAUGAGCUCCUCCUGUUGCUGCUAUAUGAUGAAUUGCUAUGAGCUGCUGCUGCUGUAUGAUGAGUUGCUAUAAGCUGCUGCUGCUGCUAUAUGAUGAACUGCUAUGAGCUGAUGUUGCUGUUAUAUGAUGAGUUGCUAUAAGCUGCUCCUGCUGCUACUAUAUGAUGAAUUGCUAUGAGUUGCUCCUGCUGCUGCUAUAUGAUGAAUUGCUAUGAACUGCUCCUGUUGCUGCUAUAUGAUGAAUUGUUAUGAGCUGCUGCUGGUAUAUGAUGAAUUGCAGACUGCCGCUGCUGUAAGAUGAGUUGCUAUGAGCUGCUGCUGCUAUAUGAUGCUUUCAGGUGGUGCUGCUAUAUGAUAAUAACCAGCCACUUGGACCAUCAAAUUUCAAUAAAUAAUUGGUCUUCAUUUAAAUGUGGGUCAUGCGUUCUUCGUUUAAAUUAGGCAAUGGGAUCUCUAUGGAAAACAUUGACCAAAGUAGAUUGUGCCAAGUAGAUGGUAUAUUUGUAUUUGCAUUUUGAGCAAAUAGUGAUGGUCUGUUUUCCUAUCAUAUUAAUUACUGCACUGGGUUCAAUUUGUGAUGUUUAUAAGUCAAAUUAAUUUCCAUAUGGGCAGCAAAAUGAAAAAAUAUAAUGCAAUCUAGACUUUCCACUGAUCAUACCAAAGAUAAGCUGAAAACGCAAUGAAAAUAACUGUUUGGCUUAUUACAUGGAGCUUAUAUUCACAGGUGCUUAUUUUCUUAGGAUAACUCGUAAUAAUUGUCCCUAAGAAACUUGGCUAAUAGAACUGGCAUACAAAUAACAUGUCACAAUGAUUGCAAUGGAGGAGUGACGUACCAUAGCACACUGUAUAGGCUCAUCGCUGCCUUUCCUUUUUUUGCGAUGUUCCAUGAAAUUGCCACAUACAUCUUGUACUUUUUCAUUGUGUAACCCAAUCUGCAAGUUGACAAGGCUAAUUUCAGACAUCUCUACAUGAUACUACAUUGCAUAUCCCUUGCGCAUAUUUAAACCACCAAUUAAUGAUUGUGUGCGUACCAUAAACUAGCCAUGACUUUGUAUGUUGGACCAGCAGGCACUCUAAGGGAGCCUAAUGUAGUGCACUGGAAUUCCUACAUGCCACCUACGAUUUUGUGUAAUGUACUGCCCAUGUUCCUAAAUAUAUGUCUUUGUAGAGAUUCCAGUAUGGACCACAUACAGAUGUAUAUAGAUGCAUUUGCGAGUGUAGAUUCACUCAUUUUGCUCCGUAUGUAGCCUAUAGUGGAAUCUCUAGAAAGACUUAUAUUUAGGAACGGAGGUACGAGGUAGUAUCAUGUAUGACAUCUACAUAUCUAAUUUAGCAGCCAGUAGUAGAAAUCAUUGUCUGCACAAAGGGGUUACUGGUCGAAAAUCCUAGCAAAGCACGCAGGCAGGCACAGAACAAUACAAGAGAUAGAGACGCGCUUACAAGAGCAUAGCAAUGCCUCAGUCCAGGUUCUUGGUUGGGCAAGCUGUUAGAUCCAGAAGAAACGUCGUCCUUGCAGUUUUUCCCAGCUGCAUAACAGGUAACAGCAACCGGUUAGUAUAUUUGAAGUACAUCGGACAGGUGAUGUUGGACGGGUUUAAAGGUGACAAGUACCUAGGCCGUGGCGGGUGCUUGGCAUCUCUCCAGACAGUGGGAAUCAGGUUAGAAACGUCAAGGGUGAUGACACCAUGCUGGUUGUUGGGGUCCCGUAAGGAGAUCUAGAACCGCGAGUAGGGUGUUUGUGGAGCGGCUCCGGUAGGAUGGACUACGGUGUGGGCGAAGCGGAUCUGUGGCCGUGGACGAGGGCAUAGGUGAAGUUGCUCCGGUGGUUGGGUUAAGGAUGGUGUCGACGACGCGGAUCUGCGGCCGUGGACGGGGCGUCAAAAGCUGCUCUGAUGGUUGGGUUAAGGAUGGUGUCGAUGAUGCGGAUCUGCGGCCGUGGACGGGGCGUCAGAAGCUGCUCCGGUGGUUGGGUUAAGGGCGGUGUCGACGAUGCAGAUCUGCAGCCGUGGACGGGGCGUCAGAAGUUGCUCCGGUAGUUUAGAUGAGGGUGCGUGGAAGCGGAUCUGAGACCGUGGACUUGUGAGUUGGCAAAGCGGCCCUGGUAGGGUUGAGAAUGGUAUAGGCGAAGCUACUCCGGUAGGGUUGACGAUGGUGUCAGCAAAGCGACUCCGAUAUGGUUGAGGAAGGUGUCGGCGAAGCGGCUCCGGUAGGGUUGAGGAAGGUGUCGGCGAAUAGGAUCAGAGGUUGUCGACGGGGGCGUCAGUGGGGCGGCUCCGGGGGGUGUGGACGAAGCGUCUCCGGUGGGAAGUACGAAUGAGCUGCUGCAGAUGCGCGGCGGUUGACGAGAGUACUGGCAAAGUAGAUCCGGUGCAGUGGACAAGGCCGAUACUGAAUGGGCUGUGGUACAGUGGUGGAUGAGCAGUCUACUUGUUUCUAGGGGAGGUGGGAGGGGUAGAUGCGGCCACAGAAGCAGAUCCAGCGAGGUGGACGCCGCUGGCAGUGAAUGGGCUAUGGUACUCCAGUGGAUGAGCAGUCUAGGGUUUCGAGAGGGGAGGGGAGAAAGGGCGAUGAAGUACGGAGGCGUGAUGUAAGAUGCUCUGGUGCUAUGGAGUUAGUCGUUGUUGCGGGACGGGGAGAGGAAAUGGGGUUUCCGUGUAGUGGGGGGAACCGGAAGUUAUCAAAGGAGCCCCGACCUAUCAUGUAGAUGAGGGCAGUAUUGUAACUGUUGGUCUCCGUGCACCAAGGACAAAGGGGGGAUUUCGCAUGCUAAAGACUAAGGUGGCGGAAAUUUUAGAAGGAGGCGGGAGAUUUUGCCGCCCGCAGGAUCGUUCGUAUCCAAUUUCAACUAAUUUUAGACCGUGCUAGAGGGAAGGUCAUGCUAGACUGUGUACACAGGGCAUGCGUCAGCAGUUAAUAACUGGUGUGAAGUCCACACCCAAAAAAAGACAAUAACUCGGGAUGAUGCACCGAUAACUUGGACGUUCACACGGGCGCGGCCAAUCAUACGGGUGUAGUGGCGCGUUCACAAAAAAAUGGAUCAAACGCUCAGCCUAUGUAUUUCUCGUGUAAAUAGAUAAUUUAGUGCCAUUGGUUAUUUACUUUAAACAUAAUGCAUUGAUGUGUUAGUGUAGAGGCGCACAAAAAGAAAUGGAUAUUGUAGUCAGCUACUUAAAAGUGUUACCUCAUAUAAUUACAUAGCCUCCAUUUCAUAAAUUGCAUACCCGUUGAAUUCAUAUAUGAAUAUUACAUAUAUUACUUCAAAAUAUAAACUUAAAUCAUCCAAGACUAAUGAAUUUGAAUGCAAGAGUAACAAUGGUGCAUGACAUGAUAGCUACAUUGGUUUUUUGAAGAAACAUCACUGUAACUUUGGCAUGCACAACUGAAAAGGUUUAUUUAAAUAGAAAAAAAUGUGAUAUGUGAGUGUCCAAUCUUUAUAGCGUUGAAUCGAUAUUGUACCUUUGGCCACGAUACGAAGUAGAUAUGGACUAAUGUUCAAGCGAUGCAUGUCCACGAUCGCUACAUAGUGAUACGUGAAUGAAUUAUGCAAUCUCUCUCACACGCAUACAUAUCUCAUUUCCCUGUGGGCAUCGGAAUCACACACACGCACUUCAUGUAUUUCUCUCCCUCUGUCAGGGUAAAAUUCGUCUUUCUACCCCGUCCUACAAGUCUCUCACACAGAAACACACACGCUCUCUAUGUCUAACACGCCCACCCCUUUAAUUCCGCCCACCCACAUCCACUAAUGUCUCAAAGUAUAAUAAUGUCUCUCACACAUAUGCUAUCUACCUAUCCCUUAAUAUAGCUAGAUAUGUGUCACACAAACUCCUUCUCCCUACUAGCAAGAUGCCCAUGCGUUGCACGAAAGAUCAAGAUGCAUUUGUAUGAGAAGUUUAUCUUGUGGGAGAAAAGGAUGAACGAGGGAAUGCCUUAUUUGCAAAUAUGGAGAGGGGUGUGGGUAUCUUUUUGCUAAAUGGCCAUAGUUUCCUUCCUAUCCGUCGGAUAUAAAUCAGAUGGCCUAUAUUGCAGGAUGGCAGGAACACCAUCAUCACCAAGUCUAUUUUUUUAUAAGAGUAGAGAUGUGUGAGUNNNNNNNNNNNNNNNNNNNNNNNNNNNNNNNNNNNNNNNNNNNNNNNNNNNNNNNNNNNNNNNNNNNNNNNNNNNNNNNNNNNNNNNNNNNNNNNNNNNNNNNNNNNNNNNNNNNNNNNNNNNNNNNNNNNNNNNNNNNNNNNNNNNNNNNNNNNNNNNNNNNNNNNNNNNNNNNNNNNNNNNNNNNNNNNNNNNNNNNNNNNNNNNNNNNNNNNNNNNNNNNNNNNNNNNNNNNNNNNNNNNNNNNNNNNNNNNNNNNNACACACUUCACAACACCAAAGGAGUAGGGUGACACCUCGAUCUUGAUACUAAUCUAUCAAAUGGCUUCUCUCUCAAACAUACACACACACUACCUGGCACCGAAGGAGUAGGGUGGCACAUCGAUCUUGAUAGUAAUCUAUCUACUCCUCUUUCAAACACACACACACACACACACACACUCGCUAGUUGUGCCUCUGUGCCUACCGCACACACUCUCGAUACGUCUUUCUCCCCCUCCCAAGAAUGACAGCAGAAGGGUGACAACUCGAUCUGAUCAUAAUCUAUCAAUUGGUUUCUCUCUCAAACAUUGUGUCUCGGUGCCUCGCUCGGUAGCCCCCUCAAUAUGUAGACUUCUCGCGCGUGCACAACUGUAGUGAUGAUGAUGAUGAACCCAGCGUGCCUUGUUUUUACCGGCCUCAUGUGAUAGUUUUCACCCUGUUUUCUGUUAAUUAACAAGGCAACCUUUUCUUUGUUACUACUAGUGAAUCUAAAAUCAUUCGGGGCAGACAUAAAAUAUAUCACUUCAACCCAAUUAUCACAGCAACUAUUUUAAAAGAAAUUAGCUAGUUGCCCGUGCGUUGCACGGAACAUCAAGAUGCAUUUGUAUGAGUAGUUUAUCUUGUGAGAGAAAAGGUUGAACGAGGGAAGGCCUUAUUUGCGAAUGUGGACAGAUGUGUGGGUAUAUUUUUGCAAAAUUGCCAUAGUUUCUUUCCUAUCCGUUAGAUAUAAAUCCAACGGCCUAUAUUGCAGGAUGGCACGCACACCAUCAUCACCAACUCUGUUUUCUACUCCCUCCGUCCGAAAAUACUUGUCAUCAAAAUGGAUAAAAAGAGAUGUAUCUAAAACUAAAAUACGUCUAGAUACAUUUCCUUUUAUCCAUUUUGAUGACAAGUAUUUGCGGACGGAGGGAGUAUUUGUCAUUUUAGAGAUUUCAACAAGUGACUAUGACCGGACCUUACCAACAUACUCAAAAAAGUAGUCCAUAAUUUUGAUGUUACCCUCUUUUCUUGGCGGUGCAAUGCCAUCUAGAUACCUCAUAAAUAAAUCAAGGACAAAUCUGACCCCUUCCUGAAAAGACAUACGGAGCAAAAUGAGUGAAUCUACACUCUAAAAUAUGUCUACAUACACAUCCGUAUGUGGUAGUCCAUUUGAAAUCUGAAAAAGACAAAUAUUUAGGAACGAAUGGAGAUAUAUAAGAUAGACAGUGAUGGAGAUAUAUCUCCAGCAUGGUCUACAACAAAAAUGUGCUGGGCUGGUUAGCGCCGGAUGCUCGCAACGCGAUGACAUGAGUUCGAAUUCUGUCUUUUAACUUUAGAUUUUUAUAUUUUAUAUUACUCUACUUAUUUAAUAUGUACUUCUUUCGCUACUGUACUGACAGUGGAACCCACAUAGUACUUAGAAUACAAGAUUAAGGAUGGACUUGUUUCUUUUUAACUUUCUGUACGAAGUUGUAGCCACCCUGCAAGUCACGUGUACACUAUACAUGCAAUUAACUUUUUAUAGAGGGACAAUCAUACAGGCAAUUAACUCAAAUGGAUUGGAUGCCACUCUAUUAUUUCCAGCAUAAAGAGCAUCUCCAACGGCAGUCGGCAAAUUUCCUCACGCUUCCUUCCGCGGAGGACGACAUCAAACGCCAGCGGCAUAGAUUUUUACAACUCUAACCAACCAGAUGAAAUUCGUGCAAACACAGACUGAUUUCAUAUAAGAAUGAAGGAUUUCGUAUAAAAAAGUUGGAUCUUCAUAUAAACAUGAUGGAUUUCAUUACAUUUACAUGAACUAAGAGGUGCCAAUCCGGCUCUCUUAUAUAAUUAAUACUCCCUCCGUCCGAAAAUACUUGUCCUAGAAAUGGAUGUAUCUAGAAUAAUUUUAGUUCUAAAUGGCCGCCCGCGGAUCCCUUUGUCUUCCUCGUGUCCAUUAGACACUUGCGGGGACGACGAAGGUCCUCGGAAGAGACGAAGCAUCAAAGAAACCACCUGAAUCCGCGGUCGUCACCUCGGCGGUGGCCUUCAUGGGUCCCAAGUGGCGGCGGCCUCCCGUGUUCUACUUCUCCUCGAUGAUGGAGGCGGACACGGAGAAGGUGGCCACCGACUCGUCGCUCUCCACGCACCCGGCUUCUGUCUCUGCCUGCAUGGCGCUGCCGCAGGCACGAGAAGCGCGCCCACAGACAUGGGAGGCGCGGCCACAGCAGACACUGGUGGCGCGGUACGACGCGGCAGCGACGGCGCCUGUACCGGCAUGCUCGCUGCCGUGCCUCCUUGGAGCAACUCGCCACUCCUCAUUGACCUGAACUGGAGCGGCGAGUUGCUGAACCACGCGUCUGCUUGGGGCGGCAACUGGCUCCGUCGGUCCAAGCGAGGUUGGUGAAGCACCGAGCGGCCUCGCCCGUAUCCAUAGGGCUCGGCGGGCCACCCAGCCGGGUAAUAUGCCGGAGAACGGCUCAUCGGAAGCCAUCGGAAGAGUGGAGAAAAUGCUGAAGGAGGAGAUGGGGGAGUGGCGGAGGGGUGCGAUUCUUGCUUGCUGUCUGUCUGGCCUCGUGUAAAUAGAGGGCAGACGAUAGGAGCUUGGCCAGCGUCUGGCCUCGUUUAAACUGAGGGCGGACGGGAGGAGCUCGGCCGGUGUUGUGUUUAAUUCCGGCCCGCUCAUGAACGGACGUGUGGCCGGAGUAGGCUUCUCGGUUUGCAUGCGGGUUUAACAGAGGGGUUUAAUGGAGGCGCCGGGCAUGCAGCGGGCGGUGCAGUACUAUUCGAUUUGGCAGCAGUAAUGAGCCGUCAAAUCACAAAGGCCCUCGCCUCUCAUGAAACCGACCGAGCUAGACUGCCCCGCCCUCUAGCCUUUUAAAAAAUGUAUAUACUCCACUUUUAUACAGUAGUAGUAUCGAUGGAUGCGCCAUGGAGCAAAACUUGAAACAAAAAAAGGUGGUACAUAUAGAGAGCGCUCGUCGCCAAAUUAUGCAUAUAGUACUAUUAAAAAGGCUUGUCACAAUAAUGGUGUCCAGCAUAAGUGCACAACCCACCCCUCAAAUAAAACUAAGCACCCUGGAAUUCUUUGACAAAACUAAGCACCCUGAAAUUCUUUGACAACUAAACUGCUGGCUAUAUGAUGUUGGCCAUAUAUAUUGUACGUAUAUAAUGUCAAGAAAUGAGUGGUAGUACUAUACCAACUAAAAGAUGAAAUGUAAGAAAUACUAGUAUGUACGUACUGACGAGUUAAAGUAACGAGAAGAAACAUAACAUAGUUCUGCUGGGGGCUCAGCACAACACACCCCUCAAAUUAAAUUAACCACACCUGAAAUUAAACUUUGCAACUAUUCCGGUAGACACUACAUUAGAAGUUUAGAACCACCAUGAGCAUCGACAUUGCCACCUUACUCGGAGUCGUCGUCCACGUCAUCGACUUCGUCCUUGUCCCUCUUCCUCUUGGCGGAUACUUCUUUGCUUGAACUGCACACUUGGCUGUUGCUCUUCAUCCAACCCUCAUAGAUAUUGAAGCAAAGGUAGCCAUCUAUUGCAGCAUAGUGGAUGUGGUCUAUAUCUAGUACAUUCUGCUGCCAUGCAUAAUGAUGAAAUGUGUAUGGAGGUUUCUCCAGUUUACCGUACGAAGGAUGAACCAUGGCUCCUGCCAGGGUCAUCAUUGAAGGCUGACGAGAGGACACCAGCCGAUUCUUCUGGAGGUCGAAGGUGUUGCCUACAACGAGGCCUAUCCAACCCAGGACUUCUGUGUCAUUACCAAAGUCUACAGUAACGAAUUUGACUAGGUUGCUCUUGAGGAAGUCCUUAAAAUCCAGGCAUUCAACGUCGGCAUGGCAUAUGUGGUAGACCAAGCAUAAGUCAUGCACGCAAACCUAGAUCCCGGUGGGCUUCUUCCUCUCUUCGUCCUUUAGAUCCUUCUCUCAUCCUAGGAUUGUGGUGUACUCAACAUCUAGCCUAGCGACCCACUCAUCAUCUGAGUCUUCGAACAUGCGUUUGAAGCGAGAAAGACAUCCUUUCACCGUCGCAGAAGAACGGGUGUAGAUGACGUCGAACUCAUCGUCGGUGAUGGUUCUAACCUUGUACUCACCGCCAAUCAUGGAGAUUUGGGACGCCAUGGAUUUGUGAGGAGGGUUAGGAUUAGUGGAACUGUCGUAGUGUGAAUGGACGGGACGACUAGGAGCAAACCGCUAUAGUAUUAAAGGACGUGCGAGGACGACUAGGAGCGAACUGCCAGCGUGCGAACGGCAGGGUAGUGGCUUUCCAUUCUCCCAUGAUACGGGCUUCCGAGAGCCCUUGGAUAUGAGAUCGAACGGUUGCAUGGCGCGAUUCUAGACCUAUGGGUGAAUAUCCUAUCCUGGAGGGUUAUUCUGCAAAUUUUCAGCAACUUAGCAUGCGACCGUUUGAUCUCAGAUCCAAGGGCUGCCAGCAGCCCGUAUCAUGGUCGCGCCUACCACGACCGUCGCGUUGCUCGCAUGGUCGCGCCCUUGGAGAUUUAACAUGGUGCGUUAGGCUAUCUGAUGUUGGCAUGUCAUACAUAGUCAUCACUUAGUCACUCAUACUACAACAAGGUUAGCUAUAAGGUUGGCUAUAAGUGUAUUUUUUUACUCCUCUCUGUCUCUUUAUUCAUACUCCCUCCGUCCCAUAAUAUAAGAACAUUUUUGACACUAGUUUAGUGCCAAAAAUGUUCUUAUAUUAUGGGACACAGGGAGUACUAGUAUUUAUUGCAUUUGCCAAGGAGUGACCUCUUCCAAUGAAAUGGUGUGCUUAUUAGUUUUUUGUUGCUAAGUUUGCUUCAUUUAAUUAGCUAUAGACUCAAAAUUGUCUUUUCACCUAGGUACAUGCAAUUAGCACCGUUUCUUCCUUGGGUCACCAAACUAGUCUCUCUCUUCUUGAUUAACUUGCCACAUCAGACUUUAUGCCUAUGUAGAAAGCUUAGCACAUGUAGGAGCAAGUAAGUACAAUAGUGCGCUUUACAUGGCAUUUUUGCAUAUGUGGAGGAAAGAGAGGCAAGGAAAAAAUGGAGAAGUGGGCUCUUAUGCAAGAGCCAGCCUCUACUACAUGGUGGAGCAUUGGGAGAGGCACCUGUAUGAAGGUGGUCAGGAAUCGGGAGACUCACGCCGGUCGUAGCGCCGCAGUUAAAAUGAUAAUGGCAAGUCAAAUCACGGGGCCCCACCUGUCCAGCAGUAACUCGAUGUCAAAUCACACAGCCCUACCUUUGCACCAGCCUACUCCCUCGUCUUCUCGCAUCUCUGUCGAACCGACUAGGCGGAACUGCCCCGCCUACCGCGUAGGAAAAGCCCACACAGUAUACUCCCUCCGUCUAGGUGACCAAGGCGGAGAGGAAAAUGAGAGAACUUAAUGUUUAGGGAGUAUUUGAUAAGGCUAGUUGUAAUGGUACUCCCUUCUUUCCGGUUUAUAAGGCUCAAUUUAAAAAUCUCACCAACCAAGGUAAAUGGUGAGUGGUGGAAUACUUUUUGUAGUUUGCAAAAGCACCUAAUUAAUGCUCCUGUUUUUCUCAAAAUAUUAUGUUUACCAAUGCAUUAAUUGCAAUGCAUGCAUGCAUAAAGUACAUGCAUUGGUCAAUUUUCUCUCAAUACUUGCAUGCAAUGAUUUAAUGCACCUUGGAAUCUGAACAUGUGAUGGGAAACAACCAAAUUGAGCCUUAUAAAAUGGAAAAACUAAAAUUUUGAGAUAAAAACUAUAAACUGGAAAGGAGGGAGUACUAGCCUUAGCAAUUUUGAUGAGGUGUCAUAGAAUUAAAUGAAGAAAGAGAUAGAGUUGAGUACUAUGUGUCAUACAUGGCAAUAAAUAAAGUACUACAUGAUACUAAUAUAUGAUACAUGGCGCAGGAGUACUAAGUAUUAUUAAUACAGUUUUGCUAGAACUCACCUAGAUGAGAUAUAAUUUGGUCUCAUUCAUCUUUUAUAGCCAUUGGAUGUGAUGUUAUAAGAUGCGUGUGUGCUGACGUGGGUUGUAUUUGUUCUUGUGCAACGAACUGGCCACUGCAUGUCAUGUUUGAUAGUCUCAAGUCAUUAAAAGCAUACAAGCCCCACAUCUCUUAUUGGUUGAUUCCUCUAUUUAUGUCAAAAAAUAAGAAACAACGUGAGAGUUAAUGCACCACGCCUAUGUGUUUACUAUUUGGUUUUUGUAAGAUGACUUGAUACUCACCUAGACGGAGGGAGUAUUCGAUUUGACAGCGGGCGGCGCAGUUCCCGAUACGGCUUUAAUGUAGACGAGGGAGGGAGUAGCGGUUCCUGAUAUGUUGAACGGCCAAUGCAUCCUCCUUCAAUUAAUGCAUGAGGGAAGUAAUGGGAGGAUGUCCAGGAAAAGAGGUUGCACGAUGUGAAUGCAACGCAGUUUGCCCUUAUUGCCCUCAUAUAAAGGCGCCCCUCCAUUCCAAUGCAUCUACCACAUCGUACGCACCUAAGCAUUUGCCUAAGGCACCUACACUAAGCGCAAAAGAGCUCACUCCAGACCCAUGGCGGCGAUGCGCGUGAGUGGCCAGCGGCUGCGCCAGAUGGUCCACGACACCGGCCUGCGGCAUGGCGUCGACGAUCGUCUCCACACGGUGUUGGAGACCGGCUGGUGGAUGGCCGCCGUUGACGCCAACUACGACUCUCAGUCGGACCAGAUGAUCGUUGCCACUAGCAACAAGUUCACCAUCCUCAAGAAGCUCGCGGACGAAAUCGCCGUACUGCUCCAGCCCGCGUGCCCAGGAUCCUCAUUGCCUGCCACCCUAAUUGGCCUCCAUGGCCGGAACCUCUUUCAAGCACGGGUGGCCCUGCGACUGCCCGCUAACGCCAUGAAGAAUGUCCACCUGGAGGUCGCGCUCGCCGCGAGGCGCCUCACCCUGCAAGAAUUCGUCGACCUACACAUCCAUGUGUACGAGCAAAUCGUAUACAUAGGUAUCUACAAGGCCAGUGAGGACGCUACGACGUUGGCCUUCCUCAACCGACUGGAAGCCUUGGAUGCCUUUGCUGAGAAGCACCUCGACCUCGCCACAAAAGCCGCCGCUCCUUAGCCGCCGGUCGGUGGCUCGGUGCACUAAGUUGAGGAGGAGUAGAUCGUACGUUCAUGGAUCCAUCUUUCUUCUUGCCUUCUGUAACCACCACUGCGAUCACAUCAUCGUGGCCUUAAUUCUUAUUGUGCUAUUGCAUUCUUGUUCUAGUCAAUACCGACAUGUGCAAUCGUUUUGCUUAAUUAUAUGCAUCACUGUAACUAGUACUCCAUCCGUCAAUUUAUAAGUUGUGCUUACCUUUUCCAUCAACUUCGUGCAACGCGCGGGCAUCUUGCUAGAAACACUAGAAUAUGUCUAUAUAAUCCGUAUGUGAUAGUCCAUUUGAAAUCUCAAAAAAGACAAAUAUUUAGUUACGGAGGGAGUAAUAUAUUAGGAGUAUAUCAAAACAAUAGUGAUUUCUUUCAAGUUUGUGAACAAAUACUACUAUUCUACUACUUUGGAUCCAUCGCAACGCACGGGCACAUUGCUAGUAAAAGGAAAAGGCCUGCGGCGUUCGCGUCGCACCCCUACACACCCGGGAAUCGGGAGUCCUCCACGGCCCGUCCCGCAUGACACAUAGCUUAGGGAAGGAGUGUUGCCUAGCAUUUUCACUUUCAUGUGGGACCGCUGUUGAGCAAACCGACACCUCGCCCGCCGCCGGGUUGGGAAACAGAAACGAGGGGAAGAUCUAGCUAUAGCACGGAAGCCAAGAAAUUUGGUGUCAGAUGGGGCUCGUUGAUAGAGUAGGAGCAUUCCGUACUAGUACUACUCGUACUAGUACCAAGUUUGUACUCAUAACUAUAUUACUAGUACUACCACUAUACAACUAGUAGGUACGUGCACGGCACAACAUCGUAGGAACAAAAAAUGGGAAGAUCUUGUUUUGGGUGAUUUAUCUUUUUUUCAAUCAACAUAGUAUGAAUAAUAUGAUGUGGGGGCACCCAUGAAGCUUAUGUGGCUUGGUUGCAUGGCUACGAAAGGUUAGAGAAAAAUAAAUAGAUAAUGUGUUUAGAGUGCACUCCACUAAAUAGAUAUACUUUGGAUCCAUUGCAACGGACCGGCACAUCUAUAUCUAUACCCCCUAAAUAGUGUGUGAAAAACUUUGAAAGUUGGUCGUUGGAUGAAGCCAAUCCGACGGUACAAAGAUGGAAAAUCCGAGCACUACUGGCCGUUGGAUAUCAUCCACCAGAUUCUGCCACAUGUAUAAUCUAGAAGACUCCAUGGUUGAACUUAAUUCAUGACUAACUUUGCCACAACUAAACUUAGGCAAAGUUAUUAGUUCUUCAAAAUGAGAUCCACAAGUUGGCAAGCCUAAGGGAAUCUUGCCACAUUUUUUGUGUGUAUGUCAUGUGGGGCCUUAGUGUGGCUUGCCUAAGGUGUGGCUUGAACCAAACACUCACCUAAGUUAAUCAAACUUUCCUAACCUUACAUUCCACCAGAUUUUGCCACAGGUCGGGGGAUGUGUGUUGUCAUGGGUUCGAGCGGCGUCGUGGGAAUCGCAUGUGGUUGUGGUAGAAACUUGAUGCUCGCUGCAUUUUAGGUGGCCCACAUGUCAUGCACACAAAGGCAGAGGGGCGGUGCGGCCGAGAGGGGUGAGGCGCAUGUCGGGGGGCGUGGUGCCGUGGGUUGGAGAGGCAUCGUGGGAAUCGCAAGAUGAAAUGUGAUAGUCACCAUAGUUGAACUUCCAUGGACAAGCUAUCAUGUCUAUGGACACAUGCACUGCAUACCGAUCAUUGGAAGGAGUAGCAGAGAAAGCUAUAUAUGCGGAUAAAUAGUUCCUUAUAGUCAAGCGGACCCACGCUACUACUCUGUUCCAAAGACAUGCACACCAUCGAAAUAGUCCAUCUAUAUCAUAUACAUUGAGAGGGAAUAAUUUUUUUUACAAGAGAGGAAAUAGUUCAUCCAUCCAUAAUGCCCUCCUACUGGUGCAGCCUUUUCUUCUUCUUCUUCUUCUUCUUCUUCUUCUUCUUCUUCUUCUUCUUCUUCUUCUUCUUCUUCUUCUUCUUCUUCUUCUUCUUCUUCUUCUUCUUCUUCUUCUUCUUCUUCUUCUUCUUCUUCUUCUUCUUCUUCUUCUUCUUCUUCUUCUUCUUCUUCUUGUUCUCAUUCUCCGUGGGAGACGGCUUCACAACAAGCUCUUUGGACCUUGCAGCUAUCUCGAAACUCACACGGGCAUCGAGGGCAGCAUAUUUUAUCCGCUCGUGCGUCAAGGGAUAAUUCUCCCAUCUAGACGACCUUAAUGCCACCGUCUUGUCACCCUUUUGAAGAUUUGUACCGAGCACAAAUUUUGUUACGUCGAAUAGGGAUGGUGUCUGUUUAUCACAAUCUUCUAGAGGAAUUUUGAUUCUGGUUUGUAGGUCAGCGAUGCUUUUCAAAUCAAGGUUGUACGGCUCCAGCUUCUGUUUGUCCCAUUCGAUGGCUGCCCCACAGAAGUAUACGUCCUCCCGAUACAAGAAAUCGUGAAGCUCACCUGGUAUGGAGGGCGAGUGUAUGAUGUGGUACACCAAAACAUCAUCUUCGAGGCACAGCUGAAGGAUGGCGGCGCGCUGGAUCUUCCCAGGGGCACGCUCCGUGUACUCUGCAUCAAGACCGAUGACCCUCGUCUCUACCUUUUCGAGGGUGUUGGAUACAUUGUUGAUCCACUGCCGAACAACCCUUGGGUGGACGGUGAUGGUGGCAACUAUGCGCAUCGAGCCUUCGACGAGGACAUGUUCGACGCUAAAAACCUGCAUCUCGAUCUCUUUCGCCAUUUGGAACCACUGGAACGGAGGGCUAUGGUUUGGAGAAUUAGGAUUAGAUGUCUAGUCUAACUAAAGUAGUAGAUGAUUAUUUAAAGAGGUUAAAACAAUGUGAAUGUAGUGGGGUUUGGAUGCAAGUGAAGACGAAGGGGAGGUGAAGAAGCCGAGGAGAAUUGGUUCCCGAUGGAGAAGUAAAUGGGAGAAGUGGCAUGCAGGCAGUUGAUUAGACGGCUAGGUAGACUAAACAAAAAGGCUAUGCGGGUAGACUGAUGAGUCGUACCUGUUCGUGUACGUGUCCAUCCUUCCUGAUAGGUGGAACCUAUGCAAACAGAUAAAAAAUGUGUCCUAGCUUUUUUUUGAGCGCGUGAGUGGGAGACACAACAUUCUCUGGUUAAGGAAUACUCCCUCCGUUUAGGUGAGUAUAAGUCACCUUAUGAAAAUCAGGUUUUCCCAAAACCUUUAGGCGUGGAGCAUUAACUUCCUGCUCGAUCCCCUCCCAGCCUCAUUAGCCAGCGUUCUCUUCCUCUGCUGUCGCGUUCUACCUUUCCAUUUUUCCUCUUGUCAAGUGUGGAACGAUCUGCAUGCCGUCCUUGAUGCACCAGAAUGACCACUGCAUGCAUCGCGGCAGGGCAUUGAUUGGGUAUGCACGAGAAUUUGGUUCUGCUUGCAAUAUGGAUGAUACCUGAACGAUGAAGUGAACAGGCAUGCUAGCACGGGAAACCUAUUUCGGCUAUACAAUACUGGAGUACUCAUGUUCCUACUAGUAGUAGUAGUAGUAGUACAACUGUGAUACACAUGAUGGUCAAAAUACUAUUCAUCCGAUCCUCACAGUGAAGUGACAACACCCUGCGCCUGACACUAGUCCAGGCGGCGUGUUCGGGUUACCAAAGCCAGCCUCACCCUAUGCACUGUGCAGUAUGUCACCGCCGUUGUACAUCACAUUGGCGCCUCGCCUCGUCUCCCUCUCCGCUCCCAUAGCACCACUCCAUAUCCAUCUCCUUCUCCGUCUCCGCCUCCAUCUCACUGUGCCCCAUGUACCGUCGCCUCACUCGCUGAGGGAGUCCUACAUAAGGGGGUAUCCGGACAGCCGUAUUAUAUGUUUUGGCCGGACUGUUGGACUAUGAAGAUACAAGAUUGAAGACUUCGUCCCGUGUCCAGAUGGGACUCUCCUUGGCGUGGAAGGCAAGCUUGGCGAUUCGGAUGUAGAUCUCCUUCUCUAUAAACCGACUCUGUGUAACCCUAGCCCCUCUGGUGUCUAUAUAAACCGGAGGGUUUAGUCCGCAGGACACAACAACAACAAUCAUACCAUAGGCUAGCUUCUAGGGUUUAGCCUCUCUGAUCUUGUGGUAGAUCAACUCUUGUAAUACUCAUAUCGUCAAGAUCAAUCAAGUAGGAAGUAGGGUAUUACCUCCAUCGAGAGGGCCCGAACCUGGGUAAACAUCGUGUCCCCAGUCUCCUGUUACCAUUAGCCUUAGAUGCACAGUUCGGGACCCCCUACCCGAGAUCUGCCGGUUUUGACACCGACAUUGGUGCUUUCAUUGAAAGUUCCUCUGUGUCGUCGCUGUAAGGCUCAAUGGCUUCGCCAACCUUCAACAACUCCGUCCAGGGUGAGACUUUUCUCCCCGGACAGAUUUUUGUGUUCGGCGGCUUCGCACUGCGGGCCAACUCGCUUGGCCAUCUAGAGCAGAUCGACAGCUACGCCCAUGGUCAUCAGGUCUGGUUUGGGAACCUAAACUACACUCCUGAUAUCCAUGGAGACUUGAUCCUCGACGAAUUCGAGCCCAUGUCAGGAGCGCCGAACGAUCACGACGUGCAUGACCUAGAUAUGCCGUCGAACAGUAUUCCGAACAUCACGCCUGCUACAGCUCCAGACUUUGUUCCAGAGCAGGUCGUGCCUUCCAAGGACGGGUGGAUGGACCCCGCCCCGGAGGCCGCACACUCAUCGGCGUUGGAGCCCAACACAGAGUCCUCUCCUAAAGAAAUCAGUAUCUCUGGACCCCCGGACUUGUCUCCGGCCGUGUGUUCCGGACCGCGCGCAUUCGUGCCCAUCGAAUCUAAUUGGGCUCCGGUUAUGGAGUUCACCGCCGCGGAUAUCUUUCAGCACUCACCCUUCGGAGAUGUGCUAAAUUCAUUAAGGUUUCUCUCUCUCUAUCAGGAGAUUCCUGGCCGAACUAUGUUUGGCUUGAGUGGGAAGCAGGUGACGACGAAAUUCGUCACCCACCCACCACCCACUUCAUAGCAACGGUCGAUGACUUGACCGACGUGCUUAACUUCAACUCUGAAGACAUCGACGGUAUAGACGACGAUGCGGGAGAAGAACAGGAACCACCGCCCAUAGGGCACUGGACUGCCACCUCUUCAUAUGAUAUAUACAUGGUGGAUACUCCCAAAGGAAACAAUGGCGAUGAGGCAAUAGGAGAUAACUCCUCGGGGAAGAAAUCAAAGCAUGGGAGUCAUCGGCGCCGCUCCAAGCCCUUCCACACCAAUACCGGCACCGAAGAAGAAAAUAAUCCAGAUGGCGCCAAAGAGGGAUACAAUCCUGAUCAGCCUACCAUCGAGCAGGCCGAACAGAAACACGGACAGGUCAGCCCAGACGAACAGGUGACGGACGAAUACUUGGAGGACAAUAACUAUAUGCCUCCCUCCGAAGACGAGGCAAGCCUCGAUGACGAUGAAUUCAGCGUACCAGAGGAUCCCAUAGAGUAGGAGCGCUUGAAGUGCCGGCUUAUAGCCACUGCAAGAAGACUGAAAAAGAAGCAGCAGCAGCUCCAAGCUCAUCAAGAUCUGCUCGCAGAUAGGCGGACUAAGGCCCGGGCAGCUGAGGAAUACGGACUCGAGCGCCGAACAAAAUACUACUCGAAGCGCAGGCUACUACCUCAAUUCGAGGAGGCGGCACUAAAAACCAAACGCAGGCCUACACCCUGCCGACAGCACACUGCGGCAAGGGGCUACGUGCAAGACCAGCAUUACAUACCAAACAACAACAUAGCAAGCACCCUGGGCACAUCAGCAGCCAAAAAUAGAGUUCGCAAACCUUGGUGCCACAAAUAUAAGUGUCACAAGGCAAAGAAUGACGCCCAGGAAACGACAGUCAACACAGGAGCCCGUAGUCCUCAACCCGUUCAUCGGGAGAAGAGACUUCAAAAUCAUAAUUCGGGCCCCUCCAGCCUGAACCGCAUACUUGACCGCCCAUGUCAAAUUCAUGGUAACCCCGGAGCGGCAGCCAAUCAUACAAAUAGAGAAUGUUGGGUCUUUAAACAGAUCGGCAGGCCGACGCUGGAAAUAGCAUGAAGAGGUCCCAGGGCAAGAAGCCCGGAUUAUCAAGCCUAAGGAUCGAUCACUCGGGGAUCAAAACCACUAAAAAACUCAUUUUGGAGUGUCAUAACUAGGCAUGAAGGCCACUUAGGCCCCGCCACUCUGGAGAUGGUCUUCGGAUCGCCAAAAAUUGCCAUACCAAAGAACUAACUUUCAGCAUUACACCUUUAGGCAGUAGCUAUUCAGCACCACCAGGAUACACUGCGACUCGACGCAUUAUCACCCAAUGCCCAUGACAGUCUUAAAAAACCAGACCCACAUGAUGUAGUCACAAUCGCGGGCAAGACCGAGCUUCACCUCGGCGCCGAAGAGUAUUCGGCCAUUUUAUUAACAGAAGCAACGAGUCACGGUUUUUUUCGAACCUUGAUUCGACAGUCGAACUCCCGGACACCGAUAAAGGAGUCCAAACUACUUCAUCAUAUCCUAGCCCGAUCAUGGCUCAUAUAGAUCCUUCGGCAUAAGCUGGACGGGCCACAUCCCACGGCUCAGCUGCUGCUCACGCAUGCCUUUAGCAUUAUUUGCAGGUUCACCUUUGCGCAUAACGGGCCGGCGACUUGGAAUCAGCUCGGACGCACACAGGGGGAACCUUCACCCCACCCGAAUACAAUUCGGAUAUUACUCCGGACCCACGCACAGCUCCCUACCGCCCGGUCCCAACAGGUUCUGCCGUCAUGCCUCUCUUUUAUAACAUGCACUGUACUCAUACGCAUAGACGUAUUACUUAAAUACAACAUGUAGAGUCAUUUGACACUUAUCUUAUAUUAUUUCUCAAAGAGAUUUUGUCAUAACGGCAUCUGAACAUCGUGUCAUGCCUUAUAACGCCAGGGGCUUCAUUGCACCCACACUAUGGCAACAAAGUCCGACCACCUUCUUGUUGGAGAUCGUUGCAGAAAAUAAAAAAAUUCUACGCAUCACCAAGAUCAAUCUAUGGAGUCAUCUAGCAACGAGAGAGAUAGGAGUGCAUCUACAUACCCUUGUAGAUCGCGAGCGGAAGCUUUCAACAGAACGGGGUUGAUGGAGUUGUACUCGUUAUGAUCCAAAUCACUGAUGAUCCUAGCGCCGAACGGACGGCACCUCCGCGUUCAACACACGUAUAGAGCGAAGACGUCUCACCGCCUUGAUCCAGCAAGGAGGAGGGAGAGGUUGAGGAAGAAAGCUCCAGCAGCAGCACGACGGCGUGGUGGUGAUGGAGAGGCAGCACUCCGGCAGGGCUUCGCCAAGCUUCUGUGGAGGAGGAGAGGUGUUGGGGAGGGCAGGGGCUGCGCCUUGGAGGUGUGUGUGCAGUCCUCCCCUCGCCCCUCUAUUUAUAGGGGGAGGAGGAAGGGGGCCGUCCCCCUCUAGAUGAGAUCUAGAGGGGGGGCGGCGGCCAAGGGGGGGGGGACUUGCCCCCCAAGCAAGGGGGGCGCCCCCUUUAGGGUUUCCCCCCCAACCCUAGGCGCAUGGGCCCAAGGGGGGGUGCGCCCAGCCCUCUAAGGGCUGGUUCCCUUCCCACUAUGGCCCAUGUGGGCCUCCAUGAGAGGUGGCCCCUCCCGGUGGACCCCCGGAACCCUUCUGAUGGCCCCGAUACAAUACCGGUAUGCCCCCGAACUUUUCCGGUGACCGUAUUACAACUUCCCAUAUAUAAAUCUUCACCUCCGGACCAUUCCGGAACUCCUCGUGACAUCCGGGAUCUCAUCCGGGACUCCGAACAACAUUCGGUAAUCACAUACAAGUCUUCCUAAUAACCCUAGCGUCAUCGAACCUUAAGUGUGUAGACCCUACGGGUUCGGGAAUCACGCAGACAUGACCGAGACAGCUCUCCGGUCAAUAACCAACAGCAGGAUCUGGGUACCCAUGUUGGCUCCCACAUGUUCCACGAUGAUCUCAUCGGAUGAACCACGAUGUCGAGGAUUCAAGUAAUCCCGUAUACAAUUCCCUUUGUCAAUCGGUACGUUACUUGCCCAAGAUUCGAUCGUCGGUAUCCCAAUACCUCGUUCAAUCUCGUUACCGGCAAGUCACUUUACUCGGUACGUAAUGCAUGAUCCCGUGACCAACCACUUGGUCACAUUGAGAUCAUUAUGAUGAUGCAUUACCGAGUGGGCCCAGAGAUACCUCUCCGUUGUACGGAGUGACAAAUCCCAGUCUCGAUUCGUGUCAACCCAACAGACACUUUCGGAGAUACCUGUAGUGUACCUUUAUAGUCACCCAGUUACGUUGUGAUGUUUGGUACACCCAAAGCACUCCUACGGUAUCCGGGAGUUACACAAUCUUAUGGUCUAAGAAACUGAUACUUGACAUUAGAAAAGCUUUAGCAAACGAACUACAUGAUCUUGUGCUAUGCUUAGGAUUCGGUCUUGUCCAUCACAUCAUUCUCCUAAUGAUGUGAUCCCAUUAUCAAUGACAUCCAAUGUCCAUAGUCAGGAAACCAUGACUAUCUAUUGAUCAACGAGCUAGUUAACUAGAGGCUCACUAGGGACAUGUUGUGGUCUAUGUAUUCACACAUGUAUCACUAUUUCCGGUUAAUACAAUUAUAGCAUGAAGAAUAGACAAUUAUCAUGAACAAGGAAAUAUAAUAAUAAUCAUUUUAUUAUUGCCUCUAGGGAAUAUUUCCAACAGUCUCCCACUUGCACUAGAGUCAAUAAUCUAGUUACACUUUGAUGAAUCGAACACCCAUAGAGUUCUGGUGUUGAUCAUGUUUUGCUCACGGAAGAGGUUUAGUCAACGGAUCUACGACAUUCAGACCCAUAUGCACUUUGCAAAUAUCUAUGUCUCCAUCUUGAACAUUUUCAUGAAUGGAGUUGAAGCGACGCUUGAUGUGCCUGGUCUUCUUGUGAAACCUGGGCUCCUUGGCAAGGGCAAUAGCUCCAAUGUUGUCAUGGAAGAGAGUGAUCGGCCCCGACGCAUUGAGAAUAACUGCUAGGUCGGUGAUGAACUCCUUCAUCCAGAUUGCUUCAUGCGCUGCCUCUGAGGCUGCCAUGUACUCCGCUUCACAUGUAGAUCCCACCACGACACUCUGCUUGCUGUUGCACCAGCUUACUACCCCACCAUUCAGAAUAUACACGUAUCCAGUUUGUGACUUAGAGUCAUCCAGAUCUGUGUCGAAGCUAGCAUCGACGUAACCCUUUACGACGAGCUCUUCGUCACCUCCAUAAACGAGGAACAUAUCCUUAGUCCUUUUCAGGUACUUCAGGAUAUUCUUGACCGCUGUCUAGUGUUCCAUGCCGGGAUUACUUUGGUGUCUUGCAACCAAACUUACGGCAAGGUUUACAUCAGGUCUGGUACACAGCAUGGCAUACAUAAUAGACCCUAUGGCCGAGGCAUAGGGGAUGACACUCAUCUUUUCUUUAUCUUCUGCCGUGGUCGGGGAUUGAGCCGAGCUCAAUUUCACACCCUGUAAUAUAGGUAAGACCCCCUUCUUGGACUGAUCCAUAUUGAACUUCUUCAAUAUCUUAUCAAGGUAUGUGCUUUGUGAAAGACCUAUGAGGCGUCUCGAUCUAUCUCUAUAGAUCUUGAUGCCUAAUAUAUAAGCAGCUUCUCCAAGGUCCUUCAUUGAAAAACACUUAUUCAAGUAGGCCUGUAUGUUGUCCAAAAGUUCUAUAUCAUUUCCCAUCAAAAGUAUGUCAUCUACAUAUAAUAUGAGAAAUGCUACUUAGCUCCCACUCACUUUCUUGUAAACGCACGCUUCUCCAUAAGUCUGCAUAAACCCAAACGCUUUGAUCAUCUCAUCAAAGCGAAUGUUCCAACUCCGAGAUGCUUGUACCAGCCCAUAAAUGGAUCGCUGGAGCUUGCAUACCUUGUUAGCAUUCUUAGGAUCAACAAAACCUUCCUGCUGCAUCGUAUACAGUUCUUCCUUAAGAUAGCCGUUAAGGAAUGCCGUUUUGACGUCCUUUUGCCAUAUCAUAAUCAUAGUAUGCGGCAAUUGCUAACAUGAUUCGGACGGACUUCAGCUUCGCUACGGGAGAGAAAGUCUCAUCAUAGUCAACCCCUUGAACUUGUCGAUAACCCUUAGCGACAGCUUUAUAGAUGGUAACAUUACCAUCCGCGUCCAUCUUAUUCUUAAAGAUCCAUUUAUUUUCUAUCGCUCGCCGAUCAUCGGGAAAGUCUGUCAAAGUCCAUACUUUGUUUUCAUACAUGGAUCCUAUCUCGGAUUUCAUGGCUUCAAGCCAUUUGUUGAGAUCUGGGCCCGCCAUCGCUUCUUCAUAGUUCGAAGGUUCACCGUUGUUUAACAACAUGAUUUCCAGGACAGGGUUGCCAUACCACUCUGGUGUGGAACGUGUCCUUGUGGACCUACGAAGUUCAGUAGUAACUUGAUCCAAAGUACCUUGAUCAUCAUCAUUAAUUUUCUCUCUAGUCGGUGUAGGCACCACAGGAACAUCUUCCUGAGCUGCGCUACUUACCGGUUCAAGAGGUAGUACUUCAUCAAGUUCCACUUUUCUCCCACUUACUUCUUUCGAGAGAAACUCUUUCUCCGGAAAGGACCCGUUCUUGGCAACAAAGAUCUUGCCUUCGGAUCUCCGGUAGAAGGUAUACCCAAUGGUUUCCUUACGGUAUCCUAUGAAGACGCAUUUUUCCGACUUGGGUUCGAGCUUUUCAGGUUGAAGUUUCUUGACAUAAGCAUCGCAUCCCCAAACUUUUAGAAACAGAAGCUUAGGUUUCUUUCCAAACCAUAAUUCAUACGGUGUCGUCUCAACGGAUUUAGACGGUGCCCUAUUUAAAGUGAAUGUAGCUGUCUCUAAAGUGUAUCCCCAAAAUGAUAGCGGUAAAUUGGUAAGGGACAUCAUAGACCGCACCAUAUCCAAUAGAGUGCGAUUACGACAUUCGGACACACCGUUACGCUGAGGUGUUCCAGGCGGCGUGAGUUGUGAAACAAUUCCACAUUUCCUCAAGUGCGUACCAAACUCGUGACUUAAAUAUUCUCCCCCACGAUCUGAUCAUAAGAACUUUAUUUUUCUGUCAAGUUGAUUCUCAACCUCAUUCUAAAAUUCAUUGAACUUUUCAAAGGUCUCAGACUUGUGUUUCAUCAAGUAGACAUACCCAUAUCUACUUAAGUCUUCAGUGAGGGUGAGAACAUAACGAUAGCCACCGCGAGCCUCAACACUCAUCGGACCGCACACAUCAGUAUGUAUAAUUUGCAACAAGUUGGUUGCUCGCUCCAUUGUUCCGGAGAACGGAGUCUUGGUCAUUUCGCCCAUGAGGCAUGGUUCGCACGUGUCAAAUGAUUCGAAAUCAAGAGACUCCAAAAGUCCAUCUGUAUGGAGCUUCUUCAUACGUUUGACACCAAUGUGACCAAGGCGGCAGUGCCACAGAUAUGUGGGACUAUCAUUAUGAAUCUUACAUCUUUUGGUAUUCACACUAUGAAUAUGUGUAACAUCACGUUCGAGAUUCAUUAAGAAUAAACCAUUGACUAGCGGGGCAUGACCAUAAAACAUAUCUCUCAUAUAAAUAGAACAACCAUUAUUCUUGGAUUUAAAUGAGUAGCCAUCUCGUAUUAAACGAGAUCCAGAUACAAUGUUCAUGCUCAAAGCUGGCACUAAAUAACAAUUAUUGAGGUUUAAAACUAAUCCCAUAGGUAAAUGUAGAGGUAGCAUGCCGAUGGUGAUCACAUCGACCUUAGAACCAUUCCCGGCGCGCAUCGUCACCUCGUCCUUCGCCAGUCUCCGCUUAUUCCGCAGCUCCUAUUUUGAGUUACAAAUAUGAGCAACCGCACCGGUAUCAAAUACCCAGGAGCUACUACGAGUACUGGUAAGGUACACAUCAAUAACAUGUAUAUCACAUAUACCUUUGGUGUUGUCGGCCUUCUUAUCCGCUAAGUACUUGGGGCAGUUCCGCUUCUAGUGACCGUUCCCUUUGCAAUAAAAGCACUCAGUCUCAGGUUUGGGUCCGUGCUUUGGCUUCUUCCCGGCAACUGGUUCACCGGGUGCGGAAACUCCCUUGCCGUUCUUCUUGAAGUUCUUCUUACCCUUGCCUUUCUUGAAACUAGUGGUUUUUUAACCAUCAACACUUGAUGUUCCUUUUUGAUUUCUACCUUUGCUGAUUUCAGCAUUGAAAAUACCUCAGGAAUCCCCUGCAUAUUUUAGUUCAUCACAAAGCUCUUGUAGCUAGGUGGGAGCGACUGAAGGAUUCUGGCAAUGACCGCCUCAUCCGGGAGGUUAAUGUCCAGCUGGGACAAGCGGUUGUGCAACCCAGACAUUUUGAGUAUGUGCUCGCUGACAGAACUAUUUUCCUCCAUCUUACAACUGUAGAAUUUGUCAGAGACUUCAUAUCUCUCGACCCGGGCAUGAGCUUGGAAAACCAUUUUCAGCUCUUGGAGCAUCUCAUAUGCUCUGUGCUGCUCAAAACACUUUUGGAGCCUCGGUUAUAAGCUGUAAAGCAUGCCGCACUGAACGAGGGAGUAAUCAUCAACACGCGACUGCCAAGCAUUCAUAACGUCUUGGUUCGCUGGGACGGGUGCUUCACCUAGCGGUGCUUCUAGGACAUAUGCUUUCUUGGCAGCUAUGAGGAUGAUCCUUAGGUUCCGGACCCAGUCCGUCUAGUUGUUGCCAUCAUCUUUCAGCUUGGUUUUCUCUAGGAACGGGUUGAAGUUGAGGUUGACAUGAGCGUGGGCCAUUUGAUCUACAAGACAUUUUGCAAAAGUUUUUAGACUAAGUUCAUGAUAAUUAAGUUCAUCUAAUCAAAUUGUUUAAUGAACUCCCACUCAGAUAGACAUCCCUCUAGUCAUCUAAGUGACACAUGAUCUGAGUCAACUAGGCCGUGUCCGAUCAUCACGUGAGGCGGACUAGUCAUCAUCGGUGAACAUCUCCAUGUUGAUCGUAUCUUCUAUAUGACUCAUGCUCGACCUUUCGGUCUCUUGUGUUCCGAGGCCAUGUCUGUACAUGCUAGGCUCGUCAUGUCAACCUAAGUGUUUUGCAUGUGUAAAUCUGGCUUACACCCGUUGUAUGUGAACGUUAGGAUCUAUCACACCCGAUCAUCACAUGGUGCUUAGAAACAACGAACUUUCGCAAUGGCGCACAGUUAGGGGGAACACUUUCUUGAAAUUGUUAUGAGGGAUCAUCUUAUUUACUACCAUCGUUCUAAGCAAAUAAGAUGCAAAAACAUGAUAAACAUCACAUGCAAUCAAAUAGUGACAUGAUAUGGCCAAUAUCAUUUUGCUCCUUUGAUCUCCAUCUUCGGGGCGCCAUGAUCAUCAUCGUCACCGGCAUGACACCAUGAUCUCCAUCAUCAUGAUCUCCAUCAUCGUGUAUCCAUGAAGUUGUCUCGCCAACUAUUACUUCUACUACUAUGGCUAACGGUUUAGCAAAGAAGUAAACUAAUUACAUGGCGUUAUUCAGUGACACGCAGGUCAUACAAUAAAUAAAGACAACUCCUAUGGUUCCUGCCGGUUGUCAUACUCAUCGACAUGCAAGUCGUGAUUCCUAUUACGAGAACAUGAUCAAUCUCAUACAUCACAUAUAUUUCAUUCAUCACAUCCUUUUGGCCAUAUCACAUCACAAGGCAUAUGCUGCAAAGACAAGUUAGACGUCCUCUAAUUGUUGUUGCAAGUUUUUUACGUGGCUGCUAUAGGGUUCUAGCUUCUAGCAAGAACGUUUCUUACCUAUGCCAGAACCACAACGUGAUAUGCCAAUUUCUAUUUACCCUUCAUAAGGACCCUUUUCAUCGAAUCCGAUCCGACUAAAGUGGGAGAGACAGACACCCGCUAGCCACCUUAUGCAACUAGUGCAUGUCAGUCGGUGGAACCUGUCUCACGUAAGCGUACGUGUAAGGUCGGUCCGGGCCGCUUCAUCCCACGAUGCUGCCGAAACAAGAUAAGACUAGUAGUGGCAGGUAAAUUGACAAAAUCUACUCCCACAACAAAAUUGUGUUCUAUUCGUGCAUAGAAACUAUGCAUAGACCUAGCUCAUGAUGCCACUGUUGGAGAUCGUUGCAGAAAAUAAAAAAAUUCUACACAUCACCAAGAUCAAUCUAUGGAGUCAUCUAGCAACGAGAGAGAUAGGAGUGCAUCUACAUACCCUUGUAUAUCGCGAGCGGAAGCGUUCAAGAGAACGGGGUUGAUGGAGUCGUACUCGUCCUGAUCCAAAUCACCGAUGAUCCUAGCGCCGAACGGACGGCACCUCCGCGUUCAACACAUGUAUGGAGUGGAGACGUCUCCCUCGCCUUGAUCCAGCAAGGAGGAGGGAGAGGUUGAGGAAGAAAGCUCCAGCAGCAGCACGACGGCGUGGUGGUGAUGGAGAGGCAGCACUCCGGCAGGGCUUCGCCAAGCUUCUGUGGAGGAGGAGAGGUGUUGGGGAGGGGAGGGGCUGCGCCUUGGAGGUGUGUGUGCAGCCCUCCCCUCGCCCCUCUAUUUAUAGGGGGAGGAGGAAGGGGGCCAUCCCCCUCUAGAUGAGAUCUAGAGGGGGGGUGGCGGCCAAGGGAGGGGGGUGGCGACCAAGGGGGGGGGACUUGCCCCCCAAGCAAGGGGGGCGCCCCCUUUAGGGUCCCCCCCCAAGCCUAGGCGCAUGGGCCCAAGCAGGGUGCCCAGCCCUCUAAGGGCUGGUUCCCUUCCCACUACGGCCCAUGUGGCCCUCCGAGAGAGGUGGCCCCUCCCGGUGGACCCCCGGAACCCUUCCCGUGGCCCCGGUACAAUACUGGUAUGCCCCCGAACUUUUCCGAUGACCGUAUUACAACUUCCCAUAUAUAAAUCUUCACCUCCGGACCAUUCCGGAACUCCUCGUGACGUCCGGGAUAUCAUCCGGGACUCCGAACAACAUUCAGUAAUCACAUGCAAGUCUUCCUAAUAACCCUAGCGUCAUCGAACCUUAAGUGUGUAGACCCUACAGGUUCGGGAAUCAUGCAGACAUGACCGAGACAGCUCUCUGGUCAAUAACCAAUAGCGGGAUCUGGAUACCCAUGUUGGCCCCCACAUGUUCCACGAUGAGCUCAUCGGAUGAACCAUGAUGUCGAGGAUUCAAGUAAUCCCGUAUACAAUUCCCUUUGUCAAUCGGUACGUUACUUGCCCGAGAUUCGAUCGUCGGUAUCCCAAUACCUCGUUCAAUCUCGUUACCGGCAAGUCACUUUACUCACUACAUAAUGCAUGAUCUCGUGACCAACCACUUGGUCACAUUGAGCUCAUUAUGAUGAUGCAUUACCGAGUGGGCCCAGAGAUACCUCUCCAUCGUACGGAGCGACAAAUCCCAGUCUCGAUUCGUGUCAACCCAACAGACACUUUCGGAGAUACCUGUAGUGUACCUUUAUAGUCACCCAGUUACGUUGUAACGUUUGGUACACCCAAAGCACUCCAACGGUAUCCGGGAGUUACACAAUCUCAUGGUCUAAGAAACUGAUACUUGACAUUAGAAAAGCUUUAGCAAACGAACUACACGGUCUUGUGCUAUGCUUAGGAUUGGGUCUUGUCCAUGACAUGAUUCUCCUAAUGAUGUGAUCCCGUUAUCAAUGACAUCCAAUGUCCAUAGUCAGAAAACCAUGACUAUCUGUUGAUCAACGAGCUAGUUAACUAGAGGCUCACUAGGGACAUGUUGUGGUCUAUGUAUUCACACAUGUAUCACUGUUUCCGGUUAAUACAAUUAUAGCAUGAACAAUAGACAAUUAUCAUGAACAAGGAAAUAUAAUAAUAAUCAUUUUAUUAUUGCCUCUAGGGCAUAUUUCCAACACUUCUCGGUCGUUCGGCACCCCGAACUUAUAGCAUUAUAUGCAUCAGCUCUGAAUCAUGUCUUGGGUCAUUGGUUGGGUUUGCCCGGCUCCCAUGUUUUGGUACCUUACGUUCCGCAAUAUCGGCUAAGGUAGCGUUGGGAGAACUGCUGCGAUUGUGUCCCGGUUCUUCCGGAUGAACACCUUAGCAGAGAAAGCCGAAAACUGACUGUCAUGACAAGGCGAGAGGUGGUCAGCUGUUCGAGAGGUUGUAAAAUCUUUAAAGAUUUAUUCCGCAUAAUGCCAUAAUAAAAUGCAGAGUGCGAAGGAUCGAUCUACCGAUCAGGCGCUCUUAGAGCCCCUCGUGCGGUCUUCCGAACACCAGGGGCUGUGCCUCCCAUACUCGAAUUCCUAUGGCUAAGUGAGAGUAAUAAAGCGUUAUAGUCUAAUUGCCUGGUUCGCUGUGCUGAACACCUCCUUCAUGGACCCAAGAAUGGGAUAAAGAGUGUUCAGGUGUAUCCCGAGAACCCCCAUAGUUCCUACGUGGGGGAAGAAGCCGACAAGUGGCCAAUUCUCAAGACUAACAUAUAAAACGGCCGCGCAGGAAUAAAAUUUACACAUAAUAGGCACAUACAUAAAAGUGACUUUGUUCCACCUUACAAAGGACAGUACAACUGCCUUUAGGGAAAAAUAAUGUCUUUGGCACACUGCUCUGCCACAAGGCGGACCCCUUUCAGGACACCAUCAUAAUAUAAUUCGGGCUUGUGGUGCUCCUUCCCCUCCGGCGGCCCCUCGGUCAUCAGCUUCUCAACAUCAAGCUUCCUCGAGUGCACUUUCGCACGGGCAAAUGCCAUUCGUGCACCUUCUAUACAAACCGACUGCUUAAUGACGUCCAGCCGAGGGCAAGCACUCACAAUUCGCUUCACGAGCCCAAAGAAACUGCUCGGAAUGGGCUCGGUGGGCCAUAGCCGGAUAACCAAAUCCUUCAUGGCUAGUUCGGCCGCCUGAUGCAGUUCGAUCAGCUGCUUCAGCUGGUCAGCAAACGGCACCGGAUAAUUCGGCACCAAAUACUGCGACCAGAAGAGCUUCUCGGUAGUUUCCUUCUCCUCAGCUCGGCAGAAUUGGGCAGCAUCAGAUAUGCUGCGUGGCAGAUCUGCACACGCCCCUGGAAAAAUCAAGAUUUAGUGGGUCACCAUGAAUCUUUCCUGCGAUGGCAUAAAACGCUUUGAAUAAGAAAAACCCUUACCAGCAGCAAUAAUCCGCACCUCCUGAAUAUCCUUCAGAGCAGCCUGGGCUUCCUCCUGAGCAUCAUUUGUGGUCUGGAGAGCUUGGGCGAGUUUGGAUUCUUUCAGUAAUAGACUCUGCUCCAAAGUCUCGCUUUUCUUCACGGCCUCCUGAGGCUCUCGUUCGGCUUCCACGACCCUGGCCUCGGGCUUCUCGCAGAGGGCUAGCUCCGCGGCUACCUUCUUUUCAGCCAAGGCAACAGCCUUCUUGAGCGCCUCAAUUUCAGCAUUUGCUCCUGGAGUGCGCGAUAUAUAUGCUUUAAGUUAGACACAACUCCUUACUUGUGCUAAAAGCUUACUAAAUUUUCAAACAUACCUUGUUUAUCCCCCAGUUGCUUCUUCACUCGGCCGAGUUCCUCUUCGGCCCGCUCCAGACUCUGUUUGAGUCCGGACACCUCUGCAGUAUGAGAGGAGGCAGUCGCUGCAUACGCGUAAUUCAUAAAGCAAUAGAUCUAUGUCAUUAGCUGAGUCUCCUACGGACAGAAUUUGGUCCCCUGUCUGAUUCCUGUCCUCUCUGAACAGUGUAUCAGGGGCUACUAUCUAUGCUAUGACAAUCUUCUAACAACUCCUAAAACAUACCUCCAAGCCUUUUAUAAGGCUGAUGCAGGAUUCAUUCAGUCUGCUCUCGGCGGCCUAAAUCUUUUCUAUCAUCGCGCCCAUAAGGGCGUGAUGUUCAUCAAUGAUGGAAGCGCUCUCCAGCGCUGUCGAUAGGCUGCCCUGCACCUUUGGUUGGACGGAGGUUGCAGGUGGAGCAGGAUCGCUCCAUCCCGUCAAGAGGGGCUGCCUGCCUGAUCCCGGAGCCUUAAGGGUCUCCGGGACUGUGUCCAGCUGUGGGCCGAAUCCAAGAUCGCCCCCGCCGUCGAUGAUCAUGGGAACCGCCGCUCCCACGUGUCCGGCCCCCGAGGUACGCCCCCCCGGCUCAGGUCCCUUUGGGACGAUACCUCGGUGUCACAGCCAGGCUUUGGGGAAGGGGCCCUGGGAGGUGUCUCGCUCUCCAAGGCGUCAGAACUCAACGAAUCCUCUGGUGAGGACUGUUUGGCAAGAGACCUCGCCGUACUGUAAAAAGUACGGUGCAAACCAAAAUACUACAUUCCAGUAAUUCUGGAUGCAUGAAUAUGUUCGAAUUUCAUGCACUUAUGAGUUUAUCAGGGGCUGGGCCCUGGGAUCCCACUCCGGGCUGCUAUCGGUAGCCAUGGUGGACGCCUCGGGGAUGGAUGUUCUUACCCUCUUAGGCGAAUCUGCCUCUAAGGAUGAGGAGGCUGUCCUUUUCUUCCUCCCCCUCGUAGGGGACUCGAGCUCUUCUUCCUCCUCGUCCUCUUCCUCCUCCUCGUCCUCUUCCUCCUCCUCGUCCUCUUCGGAGGAGGGAUGGUCACUAGAGUCUUCGGACUUCGUGUCUGAGGCACCGCGACGACGGAGACCGCUCCUGGUCUCCUUGGCCUUUUUGUUGGCCUCUUUCUUCGGCGCCUCGUAAGGCGCCGGGACCAGCAUCUUCGUCAGAAGUGGUCCGACUGCCUCUUCCGACAACAGGGCCGGACAAUGAAUCCGCCCUGCCUUCUCCGUCCAUCCCUGAGAUAAUCAUGGAAAAGCACCUUAAAAAGAACAUCUCUCCCGGGACAUACCAAUGAAACAUGCGGAUGGCCGAGACAUAAUAAUGACUUAUCGGACUUGCGGGGUGGGACAGUUGGUACCCAUGGUCCGCGGCGGAGUCCGGCCAUGGUUUGCCGGACUUGAAGAGCACUUUCCAGAUGUCCUUGUGCGAGGAGCCGAAAAGCUCCCACAGGGUCUGGUGCUCGCCCGGGUCAUACUCCCACAAAUUGCAGCUUCUGUGCUGAGACGGAAGGAUCAGGCAUACCAGCAUCACCUAGACUACGUCAACAAGCUUGAUGGCCCUGUCCUCCAUACCUUUGAUGCGCACCUGGAUCACUGACAGUUCGUCGGACGACGACCAGUUCACGCCCUUCUUGGGCCAGGACGUGAGCCGCAAAGGGGCUCUAGAUCAAAACUCAGGAGCAGCGGCCCACUUUUUGCCACGCGGCUCAGUGAUGUAGAACCACUGCUGGUGCCACUCCUUGAUAGAGUCGUUAAAAGUACCCGUCAGCCAUGUGACCUUGGGCAUUCUGCUCACCAUGGCGCCUCCGCACUCAGCAUGUUCGCAGUUCACCACCUUGGGCUUCACAUUGAAGAUCUUCAGCCAUAGCCCGAAGUGUGGCGUGAUGCGGAGAAAGGCCUCGCACACGACGAUAAACGUCGAGAUAUUGAGGAAGGAAUUGGGGGAUAGAUCGUGAAAAUCAAUCCCGUAGUAAUACAUGAUACCGCGAACAAAAGGGUGAAGGGGAAACCCAAGCCCGUGGACGAAAUGGGGGAGGAAAAUGACCCUCUCAUGCGGCUCCGGAGUAGGGACAAUCUAUCCUGCCGUUGGAAGACGGUGGCUGAUUUUCUUGGCCAGAUACCCGUCCGCCCGCAGCUUUUUAAUAUCCUUCUCCUGGAUGGAGGAGGCCAUCCACUUGCCUCCUACUCCAGAUCCGGACAUUUUCGGAGAACCUUUGUUGGUGGGGAAGUGAAUGCUUGGGUGCUAGGGCUCGGGCGAAAGGAAAGGGGCGAGCAGAAGGAGAAUAAGGCGUGGGUAGAAAGGAAGAGGCAUUUCCCCUUUAUAGAGGCGAUGAAACUUUAUGCCUCCCCGCUUGCCUAAUGGAACCUGCUCAUUCCCCACUCACCAUAAUUGGUGGCACGGUUGGGUUACCCACACCUGUAUUGAAGAGAACCCCGCGAUAAGGGGGCACGAUCUCUGCUUUGACAAGACGUGCCAAAGAAACCACCUCGCGAUGUGUGCGGGAGCUGGAUGUGAAAAGCGGUUCGAAUAAUGACCGGACCAUGGUGUGUUGUCGUGCUACAAAGGACUAUCAGCAGAUUAGAUUCGUGGAUUAUUGUUCUUUCUACGGCGGUAUGUGAAGAGCCGGACAUGGUCCUUGUGUUCGGAAUUUAUCUUGGAGUAUUCAGAGAUGGAACCCGCCUCGCAAUGCCGAAGACAAUCUAUGCACCGGACUUAUCAUCAUUGGAGCCUGGUUCAGAGACUACUGACGGAGUCCUGGAUAAGGGGGUAUCUGGACAGCCGGACUAUAUGCUUUGGCCGGACUAUUGGACUAUGAAGAUACAAGAUUGAAGACUUCGUCCCAUGUCCAGAUGGGACUCUCCUUGGCGUGGAAGGCAAGCUUGGCGAUUCGGAUGUAGAUCUCCUUCUCUGUAAACUGACUCUGUGUAACCCUAGCCCCCUCUGGUGUCUAUAUAAACCGGAGGGUUUAGUCUGCAGGACACAACAACAACAAUCAUACCAUAGGCUAGCUUCUAGGGUUUAGCCUCUCUGAUCUCAUGGUAGAUCAACUCUUGUAAUACUCAUAUCAUCAAGAUCAAUCAAGCAGGAAGUAGGGUAUUACCUCCAUCGAGAGGGCCCGAACCUGGGUAAACAUCGUGUCCCCAGUCUCCUGUUACCAUUAGCCUUAGACGCACAGUUCAGGACCCCCUACCUGAGAUCCGUCGGUUUUGACACCGACACUCGCCUCCCCCAAUACCACUAUUCCCUCGCUAGCUGCUCCAGCACCGACAGCCUUCUCCCCCAUAAAUCAAGCCCCCCAAAACCCCCACCUUACAAAUUCCACCAUGGUCGAACGCGAACCGCGCAGCAUCCAUAUGAGCCGCGAUUGGAGCAAUCUCCCAAGUGACAUCCUCGACCUCUGUUGUUCGUGUAUGGAUAUGUUGAGUGCCCUGCGGCUGGUUGCAUGCUCGAGGAACAUGCACACGGCCAUCGUCGAAGCGAGGCCUAAGCUUUUCAAGACACCCUGCUUUCUACUAUCUGGUCUUGCGAGAUUGUCUCACCUUGAUAUGAAGGCGUACAUGAUGCCCCUUGACUUCAAUCCGAUCUCCAUUAGCCGAAACUUCUUUGUAGGUAUGUAGUGGGUCACCGUACAUCAUUUCCCUCGACAUCGAUCCGAUCACCAUCGCUCGAAACUUCUUGGCAGGUAUGUACUGGGUCAGCAUGAACUCCCACUGGAUGGCUGCCUUCAGAGAAGAUGGUAAAAAGUUGGUGCUCGUGAACUUCCAGACCUCCCAUCAGAUUAUCCUUCCUCCGUUGGAUUAUAUAGAGUAUUACCAUCGUGGUCCAAGUCAUCUAGAUUACCACGUCAGUUGGACGGACCUUGUUUUACAGAAGAUUGUAAUCUGCCAAGUGCCCACACGACAUGCGAAUUAUGCAGAGUUCAAGCUAAUUGCCUUGUUCGACCGCGGACUCGCCUAUCUUUACGCCGGUGCCUUCUUUAGCUGGAGAGAACCCAACUCGCAGUGGAUCAUCGUCAAAACUGAUACACACUUCUGUGAUGCUAUUGAACACAAUGGCAUCAUCUACGCGAUCGACAAAGCAGAUGGCACCACGUAUUGCUGGGACGGUGCAUGUAAGUUGUUUCUGUCUCAUGUUAAUGAUGACACCAUGACACUGUUUGAACUUUUUGUGAUGAUUGGCAUAUCCCUGUUUGAGCAGAAUUUGAGUAAACUAUGGCAAUGUAUUAGAGACACCGUAAAUCAGCUAUAUUUGGAAUGAGUUAAUUCAUGCGAUUGUGACCAUGUCAUUACAACCAUUUUGUACCCUAAAUAAUCAAACGGUUAGGAAUAUAUGGAUAUUAUCCUUAUUUUACAGUAAUCUAUAUACUACUACUAAAUAUGAGUGUGUAUCAAUGGCCAUGUUAGUUUCCUCAUUUUCAUGAUGUAGAAACAUGCACCACACUGUUGGUUUCAUUUAACCAUACAUUAGGGAAGUAAAUGCGCAUAUGGAGAACUCUAUAUUUGGAAGUAGUGAAAUCCUACAAUGCUUACCAUGUGUACAUGCCUAUAUUCGCCCUUCAGCAAUCAAUGGGUAGAAUAAUAUCCUCACAAUUUUUUUGCCCACAGAACACGAGUAUAUAAUAAUGCAUGGACUGUUAGUUACCUUGAAGAAUUUGUUUGUGAGGACAGAACAUGAUUACAUAACAUGCAUGACAUGGUAGUUUCCUGUGAAGAAUCAAUUGCGAGAUAACAUGAGUAUAACCAUGCAUGGCACUUCUAUAUUUUCGAACCCAGUAUACAUUUCCCUGUAUUUUCCUCCCUGUUCCAACAGGGACAUAUCAAUGAUGUUUCUUGCAUUAUCCUACUCAUACUCUGAACAAUGUUGAUCUUACAUUAACAAUGCCUGUCCUUUUUGAUAUGAUGCAGUGUCCCUACAGUUACUGCCCUUUGUAAUCACACCACCUUUGCCAAAAACAGGGAAGCACAACUGGUUCCUCUCUCGAUCAGAGGACGGCAAAAGACUGAUGAUCAUUCGGACACAUGAGCCGGAAAAGUUAUAUUGCAAAAACCCCACUGUAUACAAGCACCAUGUAAUACGUGAGUAUCCGGACAGUGGCGGUUACAUCUAUGAGCAGGAUACCAGCUUGUUGGGGCCUUUAGGAUUUUUUAAUUGGAGGCGAGUAAAUAGCCUUGGUUCACACUCUCUGUUUCUCGGACUCAGUUAUCCGAUUAACUAGGAGAUCACCGUUGGCAAGGACCUUGAUGGCAGAGACGCUCUGUUUGCUUUGGAAAACUGUGUCUACACGGCGAGUCGUAGGAGUUCGGGAGAAAACUCCCCUGAUUGUCAAUGAUACAGCCUGCAGCCAAAAGAAGGUGAGAAUGACAAAGGCAUCCGGAUUAACUUUGAUCCUUGGAUGUCUUAAUUACGACAGGCAGUGAUGUGGUUCAAGCCUUCAGGUUGAUAGGUAAUUGGGCUGUUGCAUUGAAAGGGUGGAGUACUAGUGUCUCCGGAUCACUGGUCGCUGAAGCGGGGCUGCAAAUUAUGAUGGUGUUGGAUCAUCUCUUUGAAUGACUUUGCUGUCUUUGCUACUGGUUCUGGAUGGGUAGUUCUUUCUUUUGUUAUGCAUAUUCCUUGUCAUUUGGUCAUCCUCGUCUAUGUCACUCUUACUAUGUAAUAGUUGCUUCUGUUUAGAAUGUCAUUCUCAUCUGGAUAACGAGAGUCUAAGCGUUGCAGAUGGGUGCGUUUUGGUGGUGUAGCAAGACUUCUUAUGAACUAUCAUGUCUUGUUGUUUAUGUCAGUAGUAGUCACUAGUCAGUGUUUGAAUGUUGUAUAUAUUGUUGUUUCGAACUGUUUAUUUUCUCGAACUACUGGUGGGCUAAAUGAGGGCAUCACCAUUCUCUAGUGUUCAGAGUAUAUCUCCUUUUUUCAAGUUAUAUAAUUUGAUCUCGGUGUCUUUUCGAUGAUGUACACUUGUUUGGGCCAGUGAGGUGUCGUUGAAUAUGGGCCGAGUAGUAACGCAAUGCCAAACAGGUCAAUUAUGACUGUCAGGCCGGGCUCUCAAAAGAUCCUGGAAAAAAAGGCCAGGCUCUCCAAAAAAGAAAGAAUAAGGACUCUUAGGCCGACAUGUGGGCGCCACCGGUGUUUUUGUGCGCUUGCGUGCCGAGAUCAUAUUGGUGCGUGCUCGAAAUUCAUGCUACCUUUUCAUCCCUAGUCUCCCGCCCCUCCCCCACCUCUGGAAUCUCAAUUCCUACUCCAGUUCCCCCAAAUCCCCCUCCUGUACUCCCUGUACUCAAGCGCACUAUCAUGUCGCCGGUCAACGCGUAUCUCCGAGCCGGAGAUCCUGAGGUCCGUCCUGCCUUCGGUCGCUGCGUGCUGUCGCUCAACAGUGGCAUGGCGGCGCUUGACGACCAGUUUGCCGGCAAAGUGCUGAUGGUAACCAUCAACAGCGACCGGCCUCCCGUCUCGUCGGACGACCUUGUCAAAGCUCUUGGCAUUGCGCACGACAUCCAAAUAAGUGACUUGCUCGUCGAAGUCUGUCCGCCACCGGCUGAUUUCUUCAUUAGGUUCCGGACAACUUUCGACUGCAGUCAUGUGUUCGAAUCUUCCCGGCAUUUGUUCUGUGAUGGCGCGCUAGUGAGCUUUGAUCGGUGGCACCCAUGAUGGGGCUCGGUGCCCUCUAAGCUUGAGUUUUUAACAAAGCUUACCUUCCACGGCAUGCCUCGACGUGCUUGGAACAGCGAGUCCAUGAACGAGCUUAUCAACGACCUUGGAGGUGAGCUCGUAAGUAUGUUUGUUCCUCCAGACAGCUGGGCUCUGACGGUUAUGGCAUGGAUGAAGAAGUCGUCCACCAUACUUAAGGUGAUUGGUGUUGAGAUACCGGUGCAAGAACCGGGGUUGUACUAUUCGUCGCCACCAAGGCCGCCGCGGACCAUGUUAGGGAUGUACGUGUAACGAGUGUUCGUGCAUGUCGAAGAAGUGGUCAAUCCAUUAAUCGAAGUCCUGCUGCCGCCGCUGGUGCCAGGGUCCGUCGACGACGUCCAUUACAGGAGUCAACAUCAGACUUUCCCCGUGUUGCUCGGAAUGAUGGAUGGCACAGGGCCUACUCCAUCACGUGGCGGAGGCCACUACUUCUUUGGGAGAAGAGGCAAGGCUGGCUACCUGGAUGUGCUCUAAUUUGAGGUAACAACUGAAUCUUGUCAGAUACUAGUUAAAUCCGAGCUAUGGGUGUGAAGCACUGAUAUGCUAGUACAUUUGAUUGUGACCUGUUCUAAUUUUGUACCUAAACUUUUUUGGAAAGGGUUGUACGUUAACUUAAUGUGCUAGCAGAACUUAUUGUGUUGUCUGUCUGUUUUCUUUGCACAACAUUCAAGAUAUUUCCCCGUCAUUGACAAAGAUGAUGAACCGUUAUGUACGACUUCGUUGGUUUCAACAUAGCCCUUCCCGUAGCGAUCCACUGCUUCCACCCUGAUUGUGCCGCCUGCAUGAAAUUUUUGUAUGCAAGUUCAGUGUGCUAUGAUGUUCUAUAUGAUUGUGUCAACUAUAUAAGUUUUUACUGAGCAUCAGCAAUACAUAUGGCUGAAAGAUGUAUUUACGAGCAUCGACCGAUGGGUCUCUCUCUCUAUCUUUAUCUCUCUCACACACACACGCACACACACAAGUGCGACCCGUUGAAUUAUUUAUUUGCUCGUGACAGCUUUUAAUUAGGUUCCCCUGUAAUCUAACUUUUUUCUUAAGUUAUUAAUUGAGCUCAGUGACUUCAAAAAGUUGUAUAGAAGCCUUGUUUGGGCCUUUCUGGCGUCGCUGAAUGUGGGCUGAGUAACCAUGUUAGGUUGUACUGUACUACACAGGCCUUUUUUUUCAACAUCAGCAAUGCAACUGGGCCAACAGUUGUACACAAUAUCCGGGUCAACUUGUUAUUCUCCGCCUCGCUGGGCUGCAAACUUUCCUAGGAGGUAUGCAUUAGGCUUAACAAGAAAAUGGACUUUAAGAAAUAAUAAAUGGGAUGUAAUUAUAAUAACUAGGCAGUAACUAUGCACCAAACACGUAAUUAGUUUAAAAAAUAUAUUAUUUUUGGAAUUUCAAAAUUUUAAUUUCAUUACUUGUUGCGCGCGCAAUAUUAACGUAAUACAACUUUAUUUUGAAAUUAUAUUUAACCUGGCUAGAAAUUUCAGAUAAAAAUAUUUCGGAUCCCAUCAAAAUGUGGGAAUUUUUUUUUGAAUUAUGUUUUGAGCGGUUGUUUGAAAUUAUUAAUCGUUGUCCUAGCUAGAAGUUGGGAUGUACUUUUAACAAACUGUAAAUGGGUUGUAGUAAAGUCCAUUAGAAUUGAAAAAUGGGUGUACAUUCUUACAAAUCGCAAAUGGGCUAUAUGUUCUCUGCCAAAUCCGAGCUGUGGGCCUACUAAGUUGAUGCGUACCAAGGGCUUUGUCAACUUAGUCAAUAUAAACGAUUCUAGCUGCAGUUACCGUACGAUGUCCAUCCAACGGUCGUAGUGCUUCUUCAACCUCUGAUCUUCUUGCUCCAGCCGCCCAAAGCAGCGCUGGUCGUGCCGCGUGCUCCUACCUUUCGUGGCCGACUGUGAUGCCGCGGAGGCCUCACCGCCCCCUACUACUCCCACUGCUGGCCUAGGGCAUCCCUCUACUCACCCAUACCCCCUCUUAUUCUGCGGCCACGGCAGCCUCACGUCGCAGCCGAACUAGUGAACCCUCGUACUCCUCUCCGCGUGGGCAUUCACAGCCGCGUCUUCCCCGACUCCGCGUCUUCCCCUUCCUAGGCCUCGCCGUUGUCCAUCGCCUUGGUGCUCUCGGCGUGGCGUGGUCAAUGUGGUCAAUGACUGACUUCCAUCGGAAGAGUACUGUACUUGGAGAGGCUGACAGCUGGGUCCACGGCCAAAGCCCAGUUUUUUUGUGAUUUACCAAGUAAGUCGCUUUGUCAGGCCUGUUGGGCUGCAAAUCUUUCAAUCCGAGGAGAGCUUCAUUCGGCAGGCCGAGAAAAUGGCCUAUCAGUAAUGAGAAAUGGGUUGUACAUUUUUAAAACACAUCAAACAGACAAUUAGUUUCAAAUUUCUUUUUUUCAUUUCAAGAUUUUAAAUUGCAUUGAUUUUUAUGCGUGGACAAUUUGUUGGAUUUUAUAUUGAUAUACAUUUAUUUUUAAAAUCAGUUUGAAUGUGACUCGAAAUUUUGGGAUGAAAAACAGUUCGGACCGCACCGAAAUAUGCAAAAAUUCGUAUAAUUUUUUAACCGUGGCCACAAUAUGGGCUGUAAUGCUAACAAAAAGAAUAUGGGCUCCAAAAAACCUUAAGAAUUAGCAAAUGGGCUAUAAAUUAUUAGAAAUAAUGGCAGAUGGGUUGUAUGCUGUUUUCCAUAGAUUUGAGGCUUUCCUAAACAAAAGGUUGACGCACAAGCAGUGACUGUUGGAUUUCCAUCCAACGGCCGUCGUGCUUCUUCAAUCUCUGCUCUUCUUGUUCCUGUCGCUCAAACAAGCGCCGGCGGGACUGCCUGCUCCCUCCUGCCCGCGGCCGGCUGUGCUGUCGCGGAGGCCUCACCGCCCCACCGUACCCCCAUCGCUGGCCUAGCCAUCCCUCUACUCACCCACACCUGUUGUUAUUCUCCGGCGAUGGCAGACGAACCAGUAAACCCUCGUACAGUCGUACUCCCCUCCGCGUGGGAAACAACUAUCGAGUCUUCCCUGCCUCCGUCUCGUUCCCCUCCUAGGCCUUGUCGCCGUCCACCGCCCUGGUGCUCUCGGCGCGGCCUGGUCAACGUGGUCAACGGCCGACAUGCAUCUGAAGUGGAUUGUACGUGGAGAGGCUGACAUCUGGGUCCAUGGUCGCAGCAAGGAAGUGCAUCCUUAUUACGCGUAAAAUAAUUACUCCUCCAUCUGACAGUAGGGACCCACCGGACCGGCCACCGUAUUUCGCGAAAAAAUGUCCCCCUGACUGCUGGGACCCACCAGCUACAUCUUCGCACGCAAGGAAGUGUGUCCGGGCAAAAAAACGAUUUGCCUCCUGACUGCUGGGACCCACCAGCUACACCUUUGCACGCAAGGAAGUGCGUCCAGAAAAAAAACGAUUCGCCUCCUCGACUGCUGGGACCCACCAGCUACAUCUUCGCACGCAAGGAAGUGCCUGACAGUCGUGUAACGCCCCGGAUUCGUUGCGCCAGGUGUCCGCCAGUUAUUCGCCGUUGUUGCCAUGUCGUUUGCUUGCGUGUUGCAUAUUGUCAUGUCAUCAUGGGCAUUUCAUUUUGCAUACGUGUUCGUCUCAUGCAUCCGAGCCUUUUCCCCGUUGUCCGUUUCGCGAUCCGGCGCUCCUAUGCCCUCCGGCGCUCCCCUUUUCAUGUCCUAUUGUGAGUGGGUGUUAACCUUUCUCGGAAUGGCCCGAGGUUUGCCAAGCAGCCUUGGUAUAGCACCGGUAGACCGCCUGUCAAGUUACGUGCCAUUUGGAGUUCGUUUGGUACUCCAACGGUUAACCGCGCAGCCCGAAACCCCCCUUUCUCUUUGCAGCCCAACACCCCUCCAAAGUGGCCAAAAACCCAGCAAACUCCCCUCUAUGCUCUCGGUCGUUCGACCACGAUUGCGUGGCCGAAAACCGCUCCUCAUUUGGACUCUCCUAGCUCCUUCUACAUAUAAAUAUGUGCAUCUCCCCCGAAAUCCCGGUCUAACCCUAGCCAUCUUCAUCCUCUCGCCGCCGGACACGUCCGCCCGAGCCGGACAUGUCCGCCCGACACCUCACCCCGACCAAUCCCCACGCGCCACGUCACCCCGCCGCCGCCCGCAGCCAACCAGCCGCCGCGACCUCACCCGGCCCGCGCCCUCUCUCUCUCCCCAAUGCGCCGCGACCCGCGAGGCCCNNNNNNNNNNNNNNNNNNNNNNNNNNNNNNNNNNNNNNNNNNNNNNNNNNNNNNNNNNNNNNNNNNNNNNNNNNNNNNNNNNNNNNNNNNNNNNNNNNNNNNNNNNNNNNNNNNNNNNNNNNNNNNNNNNNNNNNNNNNNNNNNNNNNNNNNNNNNNNNNNNNNNNNNNNNNNNNNNNNNNNNNNNNNNNNNNNNNNNNNNNNNNNNNNNNNNNNNNNNNNNNNNNNNNNNNNNNNNNNNNNNNNNNNNNNNNNNNNNNNNNNNNNNNNNNNNNNNNNNNNNNNNNNNNNNNNNNNNNNNNNNNNNNNNCGCCGGCCACCGCCGUUCGUGCCCGGCCGCGCCCCGCCGCCCUUUGCCGGCGCCGCCCUCCGCCAUCCCGCCAGCGAGCUCGCCGCCCCUCUGCUCCGGCCACCGCGACCCUCUUCUUCUUCGGCGAGCCCGAUCCAGAUCCGAGGUUGACUUUCCCCUUCCCCAAAAAUUCGUCCGAGUCCCGAAUAUUUUACAUAAUCAUGCCAUGUUCAUCGCAUUGUAUCUCUGCAUCCGUAGCUCCGUUUCGUGCGUGUAAUAUGUCAAAUUGUUCGUCUCAAUGAGUAAUUCAUUUAAUUCCAUUGCAUCAUGUUUAUUUGAGCUCAUCUUGAUGCCUGAAUCAUCAUUGCAAGAGUGCUUCAGGAUGUUUUCUGCUGUCUGUUAACAGAACUUGCACUUUUGUCAUUUUUGCCAUGUUUGAUGUGUGCAUCUUAUGAGGUUGAUGUCUACAUGUGUUUUGAUCUAUGCUAUGUCUUCUUUACAGAGGUGCUUACCAUGUAUUUUUGUGAUUAAUGUGGUGACUAGCACAAUCAUUAAACUAGGCAUCGUGAUGAUGCUGAUUUUAGUCCCUGUUCUACUGUUAUUUUGAUCCCAUGUAAACAUGAUGCUACAGAGAGAUCCAUGCAUAUUUUGAGAUACUUCAGUAAGGAUGUUUUAAACAUAUGGUUAUUGUCUAUCCAUUCAUGGUCCUGUUGGCAAUUAUGGAGUAGUCUAGCAUGUCAUUUUCGUGCUCUACUUUUUCUAGAAAAUGUUUCCUGGCAGAUUGUGUAGAUGUUAUUCAAUUUUGCCAAGGUUGUUGUAGUUGAUCCUUGCAUGCUAUGAACUUGUUCUUGCCUUGGUUUGUUUCAUAAACAUGUCUUAUUGAUGAUGCUAUGCUUAUCUUGUCAUGCAAUUACUUGUGGUGAGUGAAUCGAGCUUGUUAAGUAGUGUACUUGCUGUUACUAUUUGCUAGGCUGAAUCUGUUAUUUCGCGAUGCUAUGUAAACCUGCUGCUACAACUCAUUCUAUGCAUAAUUUGGAGAUGUUCACUAAAUAUAUUUUGUUCUACAUGUCAUGCUCUAUCCAUCCAUGCCCCUGGUUGCAUUUAUAGCUUGUUGUAGCUUGUUCAUAUCUUGCUUCAAAGUUGCUUGAUAAUGUUGCUGUCAGCCUGUUAACAUUAAGUUCAGUUGUUGCCAUGUGUUUUUCUAGUGAUCCAUGUACCCUAUGAACUUGCUCUUGCCAUGCUUAGCUUCACAAACAUGCCUUCUUACUGUUGGUUGCCUUUCCAUGCCAUGUUUUGCUCUGUGGUGAGUGGUACAAGCUCAUCUACAUGCCUUCAUAAUUCUGUUUCUGCCAUGUUUGAAUCUGCAUUAUAACUUGCUAUGUUUACAUGGGUGCCAUCACAUUUUCUGUUCCUUUUUGGCUCAUGGUCAGUAAGGGACUUUUGUUCUAUCCAUUUAGUAGUAUCAUGUCAUGCUUUUCUUUGCCAUGAUAUGUUCCUAUAACACGUUGUUUGAUAGCUCUGAACAUUGCAACCUGAUGUUAUUUUCUGCAAAAUCUCAACUGUUAUUAUUUGCAAUCUUGCCAUGUGUGUUUGAGCAUGUUCUAGUGAUUUCUGGAGAUAGCUCAGUGUUCAUGUUUUGGUAUGCUUUACCUGUACAUCGUCUCCAUGCCUUUUGUUUUCUUGUUGAGAUGCUGUAGCAUGUUGUUUUGAUGCUUGCAAUAUGCCUAGUUGCUGUUUUGGACAGCUUGUCCUUUAAACUUGUUUCAUGUGUGUGUGUUGAACCGUUGCUCCGUUUUGAGUGUGCUCUAUACGAAACUUGCUUAGAGUUGCAUGUAGUUCCAUAUUAUCAUGUUGCAUCCUUGUUUUGAGGUGUUUUGCUUGAUGUUUGAAUGCAUUUUGCAUCAAUGCCAUGUUUAACUUGUUUUGCUCAUAUCUUCUAGGCCGUAGCUCCGAAUUAAAUGAACUUUACAUGUAACUUGACUAGAAUCUCGUGUAGAUUAUCUCGGUGCAUCUUAACUUGCUGUUUAACAAUUUGAACAUAAGGUUUAUUCAGAUCUGGACCAACUUCGAAAUUUGCAUAUGAGGACUUACCGGAAUUGUUAUAUGUUGUUCCCGGCCUCAUUUAAACCUGCCUUGAUGUGUUGCUCUUGUUUGCAUCAUCUCUUGCCAUGAGUAGCUUCAUGUAGCUUUGUCUUGCAUCAUGCUUGUUGUGCAUCAUGUCUUGUUCAUGUGUGGUGUGUUUACUAUGUUGUGUGUUUCUUCUCGAUAGUUCCUGUUUCGUUGCGAUCGUGAGGAUUCGUUCGUCUACGCUUGGUUCGGCCUCAUCCGUUCGUCUUCUUCAUGGACUCGUUCUUCUUCCUUGCGGGAUUUCAGGCAAGAUGACCGCUACCCUGGAUCUCACUACUAUCAUUGCUAUGCUAGUUGCUUCGUUCUAUCGUUAUGCUGCGCUACCUAUCUUUUGCUCAUCAAGCCUCCCAUAUUGCCAUGAACCUCUAACCUUUGACACCUUUCCUAUGCAAACCGUUGCUUGGCUAUGUUACCGCUUUGCUCAGCCCCUCUUAUAGCGUUGCUAGUUGCAGGUGAACUUGAAGAUUGCUCCAUGGUGGACAGGAUUUUGGUUGGGAUAUCACAAUAUCUCUUAUAUUACUAAUGCAUCUAUAUACUUGGUAAAGGGUGGAAGACUCGGCAUUUUGCCUGGUGUUUUGUUCCACUCUUGCCGCCCUAGUUUCCGUCAUACCGGUGUUAUGUUCCCGGAUUUUGUGUUCCUUACGCGGUCGGGUGAUUUAUGGGACCCCCUUGACAGUUCGCUUUGAAUAAAAGUCCUCCAGCAAGGCCCAACCUUGGUUUUACCAUUUGCCUCACCACCACCUAUACCUUUCCCUUGGGUCGGCCAACCCAAGGGUCAUCUUUAUUUUAGCCCCCCCGGGCCAGUGCUUGUCUAAGUGUUGGUCCGAACCGAGUAGACUACGGGGCCCCCUCGGGGAAACUCGAGGUCUGGUUUUACUCGUAGGAUGUCUCAUCCGCUGUUACCCUGAGAACGAGAUAUGUGCAGCUCCUAUCGGGAUUGUCGGUGCAUUGGGCGGCUUUGCUGGUCUUGUUUUACCAUUGUCGAAAUGUCUUGUAAACCGGGAUUCCGAGUCUGAUCGGGUCUUCCUGGGAGAAGGUAUAUCCUUCGUUGAUCGCGAGAGCUUAUCAUGGGCUAAGUUGGGACACCCCUGCAGGGUAUAAUCUUUCGAAAGCCGUGCCUGCGGUUAUAGGCAGAUGGGAAUUUGUUAAUGUCCGGUUGCAGAUAACUUGACAUCAGAUCCGAAUUAAAACGCAUCAACCGUGUGUGUAGCCGUGAUGGUCUCUUUUCGGCGGAGUCCGGGAAGUGAACAUGGUUUUUGGGUUAUGUUUGACGUAAGUAGGAGUUCAGGAUCACUUCUUGAUCAUUACUAGUUGAGACCGUUCCUUUUGCUCUCUUCUCGCUCUUAUUUGCAUAUGUUAGCCACCAUACUUGCUUAGUCGCUGCUGCAGCCUCACCACUUUACCCCUUCCUUUCCCUUUAAGCUUUGCUAGUCUUGAUACCCAUGGUAAUGGGAUUGCUGAGUCCUCGUGGCUCAUAGAUUACUACAACAACAGUUGCAGGUACAGGUUUAUACGAUGAUCAUGACGCGAGAGCGAUGUUUGCUUAUUUGGAGUUCUUCUUCUGCUUCUUCUUCGAUCAGGGGAUAGGUUCCAGGUCGGCAGCCUGGGCUAGCAGGGUGGAUGUCAUUUGAGUUUCUGUUUGAGUUUCAUCCGUAGUCGGAUGGUGUUCUUGUAAGAUGAUGUUGUAUUCGUGUGGCAUUGUAUGCCUCUUGUAUGUAUCCCUAUCUAUUAUGUAAUGUUAAUGUAAUGAUAUCUACCUUGCAAAAGCGUUUCAAUAUGCGGGUCUAUCCUUGGUGGGACCUUCGAGUCCCUUUUGGAUAGGGUCGCAUAUUGGGCGUGACAAGUUGGUAUCAGAGCCUCGACCGACCCUAGGAGCCCCCUUGAUUGAUCGUGUAGCUUGGCCGUUGUUGAGUCUAGAAGAAAAUUGUUUUCGGAGUCUAGUUAUAUCGGAGAGUAGGAAUUUUUUUUACUCCUCAGUCCCUUUGUCACUCUGGUAAGGAAUCUUGACGUAGGUGUUUUGAAUUACUUCUCUUCCCCUUCAAAUUUUUCUUUAGGUUCACGCAGUUGGUUUUUCGAUCGUUCUUCCUCAGCUCUUUUCAUCCGGUGCAUUUCUCGUCAAGUCAACUCGAGCCUCUUCAUCUUUGAGUUCAAUCCUCAGUUGUUUUCUUUUCCCACCCGCCCAACCCUCUUCUUCUUGGAACCGGAGUCCGUAAUCGAGCAUCCGUCCUACUCGUGUGAAGCCUUUGCUUUCUUUCAACCAGUGUUUUCUCUUCAAGUUAUUCAUCGGUUCCCCUUCCAAGUUGCCUUUGUUUUCCCGCCCUCCCACCCCUUUUUCUUCCCGGAGUCUGUCUCUCUCUCGACCAUCUAUUUCAUUCGUGUGGAGCCUCUUCAGUCUUUCAUAAAUUAUCUCAACCGGUGAAUUCUCGUCUCGGUGGACAUUCUUCAUCUCUUUUCUUCUCCGGUGGACUCAAUUCAUGUUUUUUCGGGUUGAUCACAUUCUUUUCCCUCUGAUCAAGUGUUUUCCCUGCUCGUUCGCCUCUCGCCAGUUUAUCCUUCCAGAGUGUUCAAGACAUCUCAGGAGAUUCGUCUAUGUUCCAAUUAAUUCGAGGUUGUCACCUCAUUCAAAUAGUUCAACUCUUCCGGAGCAUCAUUUAUCUGUUCAACAUUCCUUUUCAACGGUGUUUUUCUAUUAGUGGGCCCUAACCCAUAGGUCUUUUUCCAGGAUCUUACCUGACUCUUCUAAUUCCCGGGGUUAUUCUCAAUUCUUUUCAAGUGUGACGUAAGAAUGCAUUUUAUCAGUCACAUGCCUUCUCCAAGAUCGCGAUCAAAUUCUUUUCAUGGUUACCUCAACCUCUUCGAUUUUCAUUCUCCAAGAGUAUCUCAGUAAUUUCGGUGGUGUUUCUUGUCGUCUUUCUCAGCUUUGAAGAUCGAAGAAGAGUUUUUCCUUUAAACCUUGUCCGUUCUCUCAAAGAUUCGUGGUUCUAGCUUCAUGUUAUCCUCGCGAAUUACCCUGUUUGUCAGAAGUUGUUUCCAGUUUCUUUUCUUUAGAGGCCAUCAUUCCAGUCAUCGUCCUAUAAUUAUCCCGGUACUUCGUUCAAGUGUUCUUUAAUCAGCUCAUGAUCUCUUUGUUCUUCUGCAUCUAAAUCCCCCUCAAACAUAUUGUUUCUUCCUGGUGAUUCAUUCUCUUUCAUCAGUCAUUUUCGAAUUCUUACGGUGGUUCAUUCAAGAUUAUUUGUCCUUGAUUAUCAUUUUAUAUCUUUCGUUCUUCCCAAUCCUACCGGUGGUUCAUGAAGACCUUCUCAAGUUUUGCACCAUAUUCUUCUCAAUCCUUUUCAAGAAGAAUAAGUAGUAUGCCAAAUCCAUUGCUUGUCAUCAAUUUAAUUUGAUGAAGGAUAAGCAUACAAUAAAUCUUAUUCUUAUUCCAUCCAAGUGAAUAAUCCCUUCCUUCGGAGUUUGUUCUUGAUGAAUAAAUUCUAGUUCCAAGUGUUUUCAUCUUUUCUUUUCCGGAGUUCAAAUUUCCUCAGCCAUUUCGUCGGAACCUCCAUCUAAAUCACCACAAGGCUCAUCCUAUGCUUUCAUCCUUUAUUUAUCUCAUCAUCCUUUCAUUACCGGAGUUCUUCAUGGUGGUUCUUUAUGAUUUAAUUUAUUGUUCAAGAGUUCAUCAAGAUUUUUGUUGGUAGAGUUCAAGUAUCUUUUCUUCUCGCAUCUCGAAGUGCAAUUAAUUCUCCAUUUUCUUUUGAAAUGGAGUUUUGCAUUUCCUCUUUCUUCCUAGUUAUUUAAUCUUUUCCGCUUGUGGUCGGUUAUCAGAUCAUAAAUUUUGAGACGUUAUCCAUAAGUCCACAUCAAGCUUAUUCUUUCGUUGUUUAUUUUCUCAACAACUCCGUUCAACCCUUCCUUCAAAGCUCUUUUCAUUCUCUUUCAAUUCUUUCCGGAGGUUUUUUGUCAUGCCUUCAUCAAGUAUCAUUCCAUCCUCUCAAGCUCGUGUUCUAUUCCUCCAUGUUUCAACCGGAGUGCUGCCUAAAUCCUUUCAGUCUUAUUCCUUUUUCUUAUCUCAUUUUAACCGGAGUGGUUUCAUAGUCUAUCUGAUUCCGUGAACUUUCUAUUCUCGUCAUUCUCGUCGUUCCUCUCUUUUUCUUGAGUGCUCUCAAUUCUUUUCUUCUUCUCUUGAGUUCUUGUUUCACCUCAUCCCUUUUCUCUUCCGUCUUGGUCCUAAGAUCUCGGGACGAGAUCUCUUGUUAGUGGAGGAGUGUUGUAACGCCCCGGAUUCGUUGCGCCAGGUGUCUGCCAGUUAUUCGCCAUCGUUGCCAUGUCGUUUGCUUGUGUGUUGCAUAUUUUCAUGUCAUCAUGGGCAUUUCAUUUUGCAUACGUGUUCGUCUCAUGCAUCCGAGCCUUUUCCCCGUUGUCCGUUUCACGAUCCGGCACUCCUAUGCCCUCCGGCGCUCCCCUUUUCGUCUCCUGUUGUGAGUGGGUGUUAAACUUUCUCGGAAUGGCCCGAGGUUUGCCAAGCAGCCUUGGUAUAGCACCGGUAGACUGCCUGUCAAGUUUCGUGCCAUUUGGAGUUCGUUUGGUACUCCAACGGUUAACCGCGCAGCCCGAAACCCCCCUUUCUCUUUGCAGUCCAACACCCCUCCAACGUGGCCAAAAACCCAGCAAACUCACCUCUAUGCUCUCGGUCGUUCGAUCAUGAUCGCGUGGCCGAAAACCUCUCCCCAUUUGGACUCUCCUAGCUCCUUCUACAUAUAAAUAUGUGCAUCUCCCCCGAAAUCCCGGUCUAACCCUAGCCAUCUUCAUCCUCGCGCCGCCGGACACAUCCGCCCGAGCCGGACAUGUCCGCCAGACACCUCACCCCGACCAAUCCCCACGCGCCACGUCACCCCGCCGCCGCCCGCAGCCAACCGGCCGCCGCCACCUCACCCGGCCCGCCCGCUCUCUCUCUCCCCACCGNNNNNNNNNNNNNNNNNNNNNNNNNNNNNNNNNNNNNNNNNNNNNNNNNNNNNNNNNNNNNNNNNNNNNNNNNNNNNNNNNNNNNNNNNNNNNNNNNNNNNNNNNNNNNNNNNNNNNNNNNNNNNNNNNNNNNNNNNNNNNNNNNNNNNNNNNNNNNNNNNNNNNNNNNNNNNNNNNNNNNNNNNNNNNNNNNNNNNNNNNNNNNNNNNNNNNNNNNNNNNNNNNNNNNNNNNNNNNNNNNNNNNNNNNNNNNNNNNNNNNNNNNNNNNNNNNNNNNNNNNNNNNNNNNNNNNNNNNNNNNNNNNNNNNNNNNNNNNNNNNNNNNNNNNNNNNNNNNNNNNNNNNNNNNNNNNNNNNNNNNNNNNNNNNNNNNNNNNNNNNNNNNNNNNNNNNNNNNNNNNNNNNNNNNNNNNNNNNNNNNNNNNNNNNNNNNNNNNNNNNNNNNNNNNNNNNNNNNNNNNNNNNNNNNNNNNNNNNNNNNNNNNNNNNNNNNNNNNNNNNNNNNNNNNNNNNNNNNNNNNNNNNNNNNNNNNNNNNNNNNNNNNNNNNNNNNNNNNNNNNNNNNNNNNNNNNNNNNNNNCCGCCAUCCCGCCAGCGAGCUCGCCGCCCCUCUGCUCCGGCCACCGCGACCCUAUUCUUCUUCGGCGAGCCCGAUUCAGAUCCGAGGUUGACUUUCCCCUUCCCAAAAAUUCGUCCGAGUCCCGAAUAUUUUACAUAAUCAUGCCAUGUUCAUCGCAUUGUAUCUCUGCAUCCGUAGCUCCGUUUCGUGCGUGUAAUAUGUCAAAUUGUUCGUCUCAAUGAGUAAUUCAUUUAAUUCCAUUGCAUCAUGUUUAUUUGAGCUCAUCUUGAUGCCUGAAUCAUCAUUGCAAGAGUGCUUCAGGAUGUUUUCUGCUGUCUGUUAACAGAACUUGCACUUUUGUCAUUUUUGCCAUGUUUGAUGUGUGCAUCUUAUGAGGUUGAUGUCUACAUGUGUUUUGAUCUAUGCUAUGUCUUCUUUACAGAGGUGCUUACCAUGUAUUUUUGUGAUCAAUGUGGUGACUAGCACAAGCAUGCAAACUAGGCAUCGUGAUGAUGCUGAUUUUAGUCCCCGUUCUGCUGUUAUUUUGAUGCCAUGUAAACAUGAUGCUAUAGAGAGAUCCAUGCAUAUUUUGAGAUACUUCUGUAAGGAUCUUUUGAACAUAUGGUUAUUGUCUUUCCAUUCAUGCCCCUGUUGGAAAUUAUGGAGUAGUCUAGCAUGUCAUUUUCGUGCUCUACUUUUGCUACAAAAUGUUUCCUGGCAGAUUGUUUACAUGCUAUUCAAUUUUGUCAAGGUUGUUGUAGUUGAACGUUGCAUGCUAUGAACUUGUUCUUGCCUUGGUUUGUUUCAUAAACCUGUUUUAUUGAUGAUGCUAUGCUUAUCUUGUCAUGCAAUGACUUGUGGUGAGUGAAUCGAGCUUGUUAAUUAGUGUACUGGCUGUUACUGUUUGCUAGGCUGAAUCUGUUAUUUCGCGAUGCUAUGUAAACCUGCUGCUACAACUCAUUCUAUGCAUAAUCUGGAGAUGUUCACUAAAUAUGUUUUGUUCUACAUGUAAUGCUCUAUCCAUCCAUGCCCCUGGUUGCAUUUAUAGCUUGCUGUAGCUUGUUCAUAUCUUGCUUCAAAGUUGCUUGAUAAUGUUGCUGUCAGCCUGUUAACAUUAAGUUCAGUUGUUGCCAUGUGUUUUUCUAGUGAUCCAUGUACCCUAUGAACUUGCUCUUGCCAUGCUUAGCUUCACAAACAUGCCUUCUUACUAUUGGUUGCCUUUCCAUGCCAUGUUUUGCUCUGUGGUGAGUGGUACAAGCUCAUCUACAUGCCUUCAUAAUUCUGUUUCUGCCAUGUUUGAAUCUGUAUUAUAACUUGCUAUGUUUACAUGGGUGCCAUCACAUUUUCUGUUCCUUUUUGGCUCAUGGUCAGUAAGGGACUUUUGUUCUAUGCAUUUAGUAAUAUCAUGCCAUGCUUUUGUUUGCCAUGAUAUGUUCCUGUAACAUGUUGUUUGAUAGCUCUGAACAUUGCAACCUGAUGUUAUUUUCUGCAAAGUCUGAACUGUUAUUAUUUACAAUCUUGCCAUGUGUGUUUGAGCAUGUUCUAGUGAUUUCUGGAGAUAGCUCAGUGUUCAUGUUUUGUUAUGCUUUGCCUGUACAUCAUGUCCAUGCCUUUUGUUUUCUUGUUGAGAUGCUGUAGCAUGUUGUUUUGAUGCUUGCAAUAUGCCUAGUUGCUGUUUUGGACAGCUUGUCCUUUAAACUUGUUUCAUGUGUGUGUGUUGAACCGUUGCUCCGUUUUGAGUGUGCUCUAUACGAAACUUGCUUAGAAUUGCAUGUAGUUACAUACUAUAAUGUUGCAUCCUUGUUUUGAGGUGUUCUGCUUGAUGUUUGAAUGCAUUUUGCAUCAAUGCCAUGUUUAACUUGUUUUGCUCAUAUCUUCUAGGCCGUAGCUCCGAAUUAAAUGAACUUUACAUGUAACUUGACUAGAAUCUCGCGUAGAUCAUAUCGGUGCAUCUUAACUUGUUGUUUAACAACUUGAACAUAAGGUUUAUUCAGAUCUGUACCAACUUCGAAAUUUGCAUAUGAGGACUUACCAGAAUUGUUAUAUGUUGUUCCCGGCCUCAUUUAAACUUGCCUUGAUGUGUUGCUCUUGUUUGCAUCAUCUCUUGCCAUGAGUAGCUUCAUGUAGCUUUCUCUUGCAUCAUGCUUGUUGUGCAUCAUGUCUUGUUCAUGUGUGGUGUGUUUACUAUGUUGUGUGUUUCUUCUCGAUAGUUCCUGUUUCGUUGCGAUCGUGAGGAUUCGUUCGUCUACGCUUGGUUCGGCCUCAUCCGUUCAUCUUCUUCAUGGACUCGUUCUUCUUCCUUGCGGGAUUUCAGGCAAGAUGACCGCUACCCUGGAUCUCACUACUAUCAUUGCUAUGCUAGUUGCUUCGUUCUAUCGCUAUGCUGCGCUACCUAUCUUUUGCUCAUCAAGCCUCCCAUAUUGCCAUGAACCUCUAACCUUUGACACCUUUCCUAUGCAAACCGUUGCUUGGCUAUGUUACCGCUUUGCUCAGCCCCUCUGAUAGCGUUGCUAGUUGCAGGUGAACUUGAAGAUUGCUCCAUGGUGGACAGGAUUUUGGUUGGGAUAUCACAAUAUCUCUUAUAUUAUUAAUGCAUCUAUAUACUUGGUAAAGGGUGGAAGACUCGGCCUUUUGCCUGGUGUUUUGUUCCACUCUUGCCGCCCUAGUUUCCGUCAUACCGGUGUUAUGUUCCCGGAUUUUGUGUUCCUUACGCGGUCGGGUGAUUUAUGGGACCCCCUUGACAGUUCGCUUUGAAUAAAACUCCUCCAGCAAGGCCCAACCUUGGUUUUACCAUUUGCCUCACCACCACCUAUACCUUUCCCUUGGGUCGGCCAACCCAAGGGUCAUCUUUAUUUUAGCCCCCCCCGGGCCAGUGCUUGUCUAAGUGUUGGUCCGAACCGAGUAGACUACGGGGCCCCCUCGGGGAAACUCGAGGUUUGGUUUUACUCGUAGGAUGUCUCAUCCGGUGUUGCCCUGAGAAUGACAUAUGUGCAGCUCCUAUCGGGAUUGUUGGUGCAUCGGGCGGCUUUGCUGGUCUUGUUUUACCAUUGUCGAAAUGUCUUGUAAACCGGGAUUCCGAGUCUGAUCGUGUCUUCCUGGGAGAAGGUAUAUCCUUCGUUGAUCGCGAGAGCUUAUCAUGGGCUAAGUUGGGACACCCCUGCAGGGUAUAAUCUUUCGAAAGCCGUGCCUGCGGUUAUAGGCAGAUGGGAAUUUGUUAAUGUCCGGUUGUAGAUAACUUGACAUCAGAUCCGAAUUAAAACGCAUCAACCGUGUGUGUAGCCGUGGUGGUCUCUUUUCGGUGGAGUCCGGGAAGUGAACACGAUUUUUGGGUUAUGUUUGACGUAAGUAGGAGUUCAGGAUCACUUCUUGAUCAUUACUAGUUGACGGCCGUUCCUUUUGCUCUCAUCUCGCUCUUAUUUGCGUAUGUUAGCCACCAUACUUGCUUAGUCGCUGCUGCAGCCUCACCACUUUACCCCUUCCUUUCCCUUUAAGCUUUGCUAGUCUUGAUACCCAUGGUAAUGGGAUUGCUGAGUCCUCGUGGCUCACAGAUUACUACAACAACAGUUGCAGGUACAGGUUUAUAUGAUGAUCAUGACGCGAGAGCGAUGUUUGCUUAUUUGGAGUUCUUCUUCUGCUUCUUCUUCGAUCAGGGGAUAGGUUCUAGGUCGGUAGCCUGGGCUAGCAGGGUGGAUGUCGUUCGAGUUUCAGUUUGAGUUUCAUCCGUAGUCGGAUGGUGUUCUUGUAAGAUGAUGUUGUAUUCGUGUGGCAAUGUAUGCCUCUUGUAUGUAUCUCUAUCUAUUAUGUAAUGGUGAUGUAAUGAUAUCCACCUUGCAAAAGCGUUUCAAUAUGCGGGUCUAUCCUUGGUGGGACCUUCGAGUUCCUUUUGGAUAGGAUCGCAUAUUGGGCGUGACAAGUUGGUAUCAGAGCCUCGACCGACCCUAGGAGCCCCCUUGAUUGAUCGUGUAGCUUGGUCGUUGUUGAGUCUAGAAGAAAACUGUUUUCGGAGUCUAGUUAUAUCGGAGAGUAGGAAUUUUUUUACUCCUCAGUCCCUUCGUCGCUCUGGUAAGGAAUCUUGACGUAGGUGUUUUGAAUUACUUCUCUUCCCCUUCAAAUUUUUCUUUAGGUUCACGCAGUUGGUUUUUCGAUCGUUGUUCCUCGGCUCUUUUCAUCCGGUGCAUUUCUCGUCAAGUCGACUCGAGCCUCUUCAUAUUUGAGUUCAAUCCUCAGUUGUUUUCUUUUCCCACCCGCCCAACCCUCUUUUUCUUGGAACCGGAGUCCGUAAUCGAGUAUCCAUCCUACUCGUGUGAAGCCUUUGCUUUCUUUCAACCAGUGUUUUCUCUUCAAGUUAUUCAUCGGUUCCCCUUCCAAGUUGCCUUUGUUUUCCUGCCCUCCCAUCCCUUUUUCUUCCCGGAGUCUCUCUCUCUCUCUCUCUCUCGACCAUCUAUUUCAUUCGUGUGGAGCCUCUUCAGUCUUUUGUAAAUUAUCUCAACCGGUGAAUUCUCGUCUCGGUGGACAUUCUUCAUCUCUUUUCUUCUCCGGUGGACUCAAUUCAUGUUUUUUCGGGUUGAUCACAUUCUUUUCCCUCGGAUCAAGUGUUUUCCCUGCUCGUUCGCCUCUCGCCAGUUUAUCCUUCCGGAGUGUUCAAGACAUCUCAGGAGAUUCGUCUGUGUUCCAAUUAAUUCGAGGUUGUCACCUCAUUCAAAUAGUUCAACUGUUCCGGAGCAUCAUUUAUCUGUUCAACAAUCCUUUUCAACGGUGUUUUUCUAUUAGUGGGCCCUAACCCACAGGUCUUUUUCCAGGAUCUUACCUAACUCUUCUAAUUCCCGGGGUUAUUCUCAAUUCAUUUCAAGUGUGACGUAAGAAUGGAUUUUAUCAGUCACAUGCCUUCUCCAAGAUCGCGUUCAAAUUCUUUUCAUGGUUGCCUCAACCUCUUCGAUUUUCAUUCUCCCGGAGUAUCUUAGUAAUUUCGAUGGUGUUUCUCGUCGUCUUUCUCAGCUUUGAAGAUCGAAGAAGAGUUUUUCCUUUAACCCUUGUCCGUCCUCUCAAAGAUUCGUGGUUCUAACUUCAUGUUAUCCUCGCGAAUUACCCUGUUUGUCAGAAGUUGUUUCCAGUUUCUUUUCUUCGGAGGCCAUCAUUCCAGUCAUCGUCCUCUAAUUAUCCCGGUGCUUCGUUCAAGUGUUCUUUAAUCAGCUCAUGAUCUCUUUGUUCUUCUGCAUCUAAAUCCCCCUCAAACAUAUUGUUUCUUCCCGGUGAUUCAUUCUCUUUCAUCAGUCAUUUUCGAAUUCUUACGGUGGUUCAUUCAAGAUUAUUUGUCCUUGAUUAUCAUUUUAUAUCUUUCGUUCUUCCCAAUCCUACCGGUGGUUCAUGAAGACCUUCUCAAGUUUUGCGCCAUAUUCUUCUCAAUCCUUUUCAAGAAGAAUAAGUAGUAUGCCAAAUCCAUUGCUUGUCAUCAAUUUAAUUUGAUGAAGGAUAAGCAUACAAUAAAUCUUAUUCUUAUUCCAUCCAAGUGAAUAAUCCCUUCCUUCGGAGUUUGUUCUUGAUGAAUAAAUUCUAGUUCCAAGUGUUUUCAUCUUUUCUUUUCCGGAGUUCAAAUUUCCUCAGCCAUUUCAUCGGAACCUCCAUCUAAAUCACCGCAAGGCUCAUCCUAUGCUUUCAUCCUUUAUUUUAUCUCAUCAUCCUUUCGUUACCGGAGUUCUUCAUGGUGGUUCUUUAUGAUUUAAUUUAUUGUUUGAGAGUUCAUCAAGAUUUUUGUUGGUAGAGUUCAAGUAUCUUUUCUUCUCGCAUCUCGAAGUGCAAUUAAUUCUCCGUUAUCUUUUGAAAUGGAGUUUUGCAUUUCUUCUUUCUUCCCAGUUAUUUAAUCUUUUCCGCUCGUGGUCGGUUAUCAGAUCAUAAAUUUUGAGACGUUAUCCAUAAGUCCACAUCAAGCUUAUUCUUUCGUUGUUGAUUUUCUCAACAACUCCGUUCAACCCUUCCUUCAAAGCUCUUUUCAUUCUCUUUCAAUUCUUUCCAGAGGUUUUGUGUCAUGCCUUCAUCAAUUAUCAUUCCAUCCUCACAAGCUCGUGUUCUAUUCCUCCAUGUUUCAACCGGAGUGCUGCCUAAAUCCUUUCAGUCUUAUUCCUUUUUCUUAUCUCGUUUUAACCGGAGUGGUUUCAUAGUCUAUCUGAUUCCGUGAACUUUCGAUUCUCGUCAUUCUCGUCGUUCCUCUCUUUUUCUUGAGUGCUCUCGAUUCUUUGCUUCUUCUCUUGAGUUCUUGUUUCACCUCAUCCCUUUUCUCUUCCGUCUCGGUCCUAAGAUCUCGGGACGAGAUCUCUUGUUAGUGGAGGAGUGUUGUAACGCCCUGGAUUCGUUGCGCAAGGUGUCUGCCAGUUAUUCGCCAUCGUUGCCAUGUCGUUUGCUUGAGUUUUGCAUAUUGUCAUGUCAUCAUGGGCAUUUCAUUUUGCAUACGUGUUCGUCUCAUGCAUCCGAGCCUUUUCCCCGUUGUCCGUUUCGCGAUCCGGCACUCCUAUGCCCUCCGGCGCUCCCCUUUUCGUCUCCUGUUGUGAGUGGGUGUUAAACUUUCUCGGAAUGGCCCGAGGUUUGCCAAGCGGCCUUGGUAUAGCACCGGUAGACCGCCUGUCAAGUUUCGUGCCAUUUGGAGUUCGUUUGGUACUCCAACGGUUAACCGCGCAGCCCGAAACCCCCCUUUCACUUUGCAGCCCAACACCCCUCCAAAGUGGCCAAAAACCCAGCAAACUCCCCUUUAUGCUCUCGAUCGUUCGAUCACGAUCGCGUGGCCAAAAACCGCUCCUCAUUUGGACUCUCCUAGCUCCUUCUACCUAUAAAUAUGUGCAUCUCCCCCGAAAUCCCGGUCUAACCCUAGCCAUCUUCAUCCUCGCGCCGCCGGACACGUCCGCCCGAGCCGGACAUGUCCGCCGGACACCUCACCCCGACCAAUCCCCACGCGCCACGUCACCCCGCCGUCGCCCGCAGCCAACCAGCCGCCACCACCUCACCCGGCCCGCGCCCUCUCUCUCUCCCCACCACGCCGCGGCCCGCGAGGCCCGUGCCAGGCCCGCGGGGCCCGGAUCCGCCGNNNNNNNNNNNNNNNNNNNNNNNNNNNNNNNNNNNNNNNNNNNNNNNNNNNNNNNNNNNNNNNNNNNNNNNNNNNNNNNNNNNNNNNNNNNNNNNNNNNNNNNNNNNNNNNNNNNNNNNNNNNNNNNNNNNNNNNNNNNNNNNNNNNNNNNNNNNNNNNNNNNNNNNNNNNNNNNNNNNNNNNNNNNNNNNNNNNNNNNNNNNNNNNNNNNNNNNNNNNNNNNNNNNNNNNNNNNNNNNNNNNNNNNNNNNNNNNNNNNNNNNNNNNNNNNNNNNNNNNNNNNNNNNNNNNNNNNNNNNNNNNNNNNNNNNNNNNNNNNNNNNNNNNNNNNNNNNNNNNNNNNNNNNNNNNNNNNNNNNNNNNNNNNNNNNNNNNNNNNNNNNNNNNNNNNNNNNNNNNNNNNNNNNNNNNNNNNNNNNNNNNNNNNNNNNNNNNNNNNNNNNNNNUGUCUCGCCGCCGGCCGGCACGCCGCGCGCCCGAGCUCCCGGAUCCGCCCGCGCCCUUCGCCGGCCGCCGUCGUUCGUGCCUGGCCGUGCCCCACCGCCCUUUGCUGGCACCGCCCUCCGCCAUCCCGCCAGCGAGCUCGCAGCCCCUCUGCUCCCGCCACCGCGACCCUCUUCUUCUCCGGCGAGCCCGAUCCAGAUCCAAGGUUGACUUUCCCCUUCCCCAAAAAUUCGUCCAAGUCCCGAAUAGUUUACAUAAUCAUGCCAUGUUCAUCGCAUUGUAUCUCUGCAUCCGUAGCUCCGUUUCGUGCGUGUAAUAUGUCAAAUUGUUCACCUGAACGAGCACAUCAUUUGAUUCCAUUGCAUCAUGUUUAUUUGAGCUCAUCUUGAUGCCUGAAUCAUCGUUGCAAGAGUGCUUCAUGACGUUUUCUGCUGUCUGUUAACAGAACUUGCACUUUUGUCAUUUUUGCCAUGUUUGAUGUGUGCAUCUUAUGAGGUUGAUGUCUACAUGUGUUUUGAUCUAUGCUAUGUCUUCUUUACAGAGGUGCUUACCAUGUAUUUUUGUGAUCAAUGUGGUGACUAGCACAAGCAUGCAAACUAGGCAUCGUGAUGAUGCUGAUUUUAGUCCCUGUUCUGCUGUUAUUUUGAUGCCAUGUAAACAUGAUGCUACAGAGAGAUCCAUGCAUAUUUUGAGAUACUUCAGUAAGGAUAUUUUGAACAUAUGGUUAUUGUAUAUCCAUUCAUGCCCCUGUUGGAAAUUAUGGAGUAGUCUAGCAUGUCAUUUUCGUGAUCUACUUUUGCUACAAAAUGUUUCCUGGCAGAUUGUUUACAUGUUAUUCAAUUUUGCCAAGGUUGUUGUAGUUGAACGUUGCAUGCUAUGAAGUUGUUCUUGCCUUGGUUUGUUUCAUAAACCUGUCUUAUUGAUGAUGCUAUGCUUAUCUUGUCAUGCAAUGACUUGUGGUGAGUGAAUCGAGCUAGUUAAGUAGUGUACUUGUUGUUACUGUUUGCUAGGUUGAAUCUGUUAUUUCGCGAUGCUAUAUAAACCUGCUGCUACAACUCAUUCUAUGCAUAAUCUGGAGAUGUUCACUAAAUAUGUUUUGUUCUACAUGUCAUGCUCUAUCCAUCCAUGCCCCUGGUUGCAUUUAUAGCUUGCUGUAGCUUGUUCAUAUCUUGCUUCAAAGUUGCUUGAUAAUGUUGUUGUCAGCCUGUUAACAUUAAGUUCAGUUGUUGCCAUGUGUUUUUCUAGUCAUCUAUGUACCCUAUGAACUUGCUCUUGCCAUGCUUAGCUUCACAAACAUGCCUUCUUACUGUUGGUUACCUUUCCAUGCCAUGUUUUGCUCUGUGGUGAGUGAUACAAGCUCAUCUACAUGCCUUCAUAAUUCUGUUUCUGCCAUGUUUGAAUCUGUAUUAUAACUUGCUAUGUUUACAUGGGUGCCAUCACAUUUUCUGUUCCUUUUUGGCUCAUGGUCAGUAAGGGACUUUUUUUCUAUGCAUUUAGUAAUAUCAUGCCAUGCUUUUAUUUGUCAUGAUAUGUUUCUAUAACAUGUUGUUUGAUCGCUCUGAACAUUGCAACCUGAUGUUAUUUUCUGCAAAGUCUGAACUGUUAUUAUUUGCAAUCUUGCCAUGUGUGUUUAAGCAUGUUCUAGUGAUUUCUGGAGAUAGCUCAGUGUUCAUGUUUUGUUAUGCUUUACCUGUACAUCAUGUCCAUGCCUUUUGUUUUCUUGUUGAGAUGUUGUAGCAUGUUUUUUUGAAGCUUGCAAUAUGCCUAGUUGCUGUUUUGGACAGCUUGUCCUUUAAACUUGCUUCAUGUGUGUGUGUUGAACCGUUGCUCCGUUUUGAGUGUGCUCUAUACGAAACUUUCUUAGAAUUGCAUGUAGUUCCAUAUUAUCAUGUUGCAUCCUUGUUUUGAGGUGUUUUACUUGAUGUUUGAAUGCAUUUUGCAUCAAUGCCAUGUUUAACUUCUUUUGCUCAUAUCUUCUAGGCCGUAGCUCCGAAUUAAAUGAACUUUACAUGUAACUUGACUAGAAUCUCAUGUAGAUCAUCUCGGUGCAUCUUAACUUGCUGUUUAACAACUUGAAAUAUGGUUUAUUCAGAUCUGUACCAACUUCGAAAUUUGCAUACAAGGACUUACCGAAAUUGUUAUAUGUUGUUCCCGACCUCAUUUAAACUUGCCUUGAUGUGUUGCUCUUGUUUGCAUCAUCUCUUGCCAUGAGUAGCUUCAUGUAGCUUUGUCUUGCAUCAUGCUUGUUGUGCAUCAUGUCUUGUUCAUGUGUGGUGUGUUUACUAUGUUGUGUGUUUCUUCUCGAUAGUUCCUGUUUCGUUGCGAUCGUGAGGAUUCGUUCGUCUACGCUUGGUUCGGCCUCAUCUGUUCGUCUUCUUCAUGGACUCAUUAUUCUUCCUUGCAGGAUUUCAGGCAAGAUGACCGCUACCCUGGAUCUCACUACUAUCAUUGCUAUGCUAGUUGCUUCGUUCUAUCGGUAUGCUGCGCUACCUAUCUUUUGCUCAUCAAGCCUCCCAUAUUGCCAUGAACCUCUAACCUUUGACACCUUUCCUAUGCAAACCGUUGCUUGCCUAUGUUACCGCUUUGCUCAGUCCAUCUUAUAGCGUUGCUAGUUGCAGGUGAAGUUGAAGAUUGCUCCAUGGUGGACAGGAUUUUGGUUGGGAUAUCACAAUAUCUCUUAUAUUAUUAAUGCAUCAAAAUACUUGGUAAAGGGUGGAAGACUCGGCCUUUUGCUUGGUGUUUUGUUCCACUCUUGCCGCCCUAGUUUCCGUCAUACCGGUGUUAUGUUCCCGAAUUUUACGUUUCUUACGCGGUCGGGUGAUUUAUGGGACCCCCUUGACAGUUCGCUUUGAAUAAAACUCCUCCAGCAAGGCCCAACCUUGGUUUUACCAUUUGCCUCAACACCACCUAUACCUUUCCCUUGGGUCGGCCAACCCAAAGGUCAUCUUUAUUUUAGCCCCCCCCCCCCCCGGGCCAGUGCUUGUCUAAUUUUUGGUCCGAACCGAGUAGACUGCGGGGCCCCCUCGGGGAAACUCAAGGUCUGGUUUUACUCGUAGGAUGUCUCAUCUAGUGUUGCCCUGAGAACGAGAUAUGUGCAGCUCCUAUCGGGAUUGUCGGCACAUCAGGCGGCUUUGCUGGUCUUGUUUUACCAUUGUCGAAAUAUCUUGUAAACUGGGAUUCCGAGUCUGAUCGGGUCUUUCUGGGAGAAGGUAUAUCCUUCAUUGAUCGCGAGAGCUUAUCAUGGGCUAAGUUGGGACAUCCCUGCAGGGUAUAAUCUUUUGAAAGCCGUGCCUGCGGUUAUAGGUAGAUGGGAAUUUGUUAAUGUCCGGUUGCAGAUAACUUGACAUCAGAUCCGAAUUAAAACGCAUCAACCGUCUGUGUAGCCGUGAUGGUCUCUUUUCGGCGGAGUCCGGGAAGUGAACACGGUUUUUGGGUUAUGUUUGACGUAAGUAGGAGUUUAGGAUCACUUCUUGAUCAUUACUAGUUGACGACCGUUCCUUUUGCUCUCUUCUCGCUCUUAUUUGCGUAUGUUAGCCACCAUACUUGCUUAGUCGCUGCUGCAGCCUCACCACUUUACCCCUUCCUUUCCCUUUAAGCUUUGCUAGUCUUGAUACCCAUGGUAAUGGGAUUGCUGAGUCCUCGUGGCUCACAGAUUACUACAACAACAGUUGCAGGUACAGGUUUAUAUGAUGAUCAUGACGCGAGAGCGAUGUUUGCUUAUUUGGAGUUCUUCUUCUGCUUCUUCUUCGAUCAGGGGAUAGGUUCCAGGUCGGCAGCCUGGGCUAGCAGGGUGGAUGUCGCUUGAGUUUUUGUUUGAGUUUCAUCCGUAGUCGGAUGGUGUUCUUGUAAGAUGAUGUUGUAUUCGUGUGGCAUUGUAUGCCUCUUGUAUGUAUCCCUAUCUAUUAUGUAAUGUUGAUGUAAUGAUAUCCACCUUGCAAAAGCGUUUCAAUAUGCGGGUCUAUCCUUGGUGGGACCUUCGAGUUCCUUUUGGAUAGAGUCGCAUAUUGGGCGUGACAAGUCGGGACACACCUGGUCGAAGCGUACGUAGCGUUGUCAUUCUGGUCACGAACGUGUAUGUACAUACUGGUGGAUGCAGAGGCGCGCAUGUGUCGUAGUAGAAGCGCACACGUGUCGUAGUAGAGGCACGCACGUAGCAUGUACACGUACGUAUAGCGGCCAGGGUGCAAGAAAGAAAAUACAGUCACGUACGUACAUAUGGGCGGGGUCUCAAACGCCUACUCGCGCAUACGUAUGGCCAGGGCUCGUGUACAUGGCUGGGUCGGAAUGGAGAAGCAGCGUCGUCGUCGUGUUCAUGGGGAGCCAACCGGCUGGGUCGGAACAGAAUGCGCCGUCGUGUUCAUCGGGAGGGCUUGGACGGAACAAGCGAUGGAAAUGAGGCGUACCGCAGAACGGAGGAAACGGCCUUGUGUUCGACCGGCCACGUUCGAAACGGGAUCCUGUUCAUCGUGAGGGGUCUGGCGUACCGCAAAACGGAGGAAACGGACCUCCUACGGAUGAAAUGGGGGUCCUGUUGAUCGGGAGGGGUGUGGCGUACCGCAAAACGGAUGAAACGGACUUGUGUUGGAGCGCUACGGUUGAAACAGGGGUCUUGUUCAUCGGGAGGGGUAUGGCGUACCGCAAAACGGGACUCCACGGGAUACUGUUCAUCUCCACUGUCGACCUCCUCCAGCCUCCACGGGCUACUGUUCAUCCACCGUUGACCUCCUCCAGCCUCCACCUACGACUGUUCAUCCAUGGGCUCCUGUUCAUCCAGCCUCCACUGCGCGCUACUCCACCGGCUACUGUUCAACCACCCCUCUCCACGGGCUCCUGUUCAACCACCCCUCCACGGGCUACUGUUCUCCACCCCUCCAUCGUCUACUGUUCAUCCAGCCCUCCACGGGGUCGUCCUGUUCAUCCAGCCCUCCACGGGGUCCUGUUCAUCCAGCCCCAACCGACUCGAUCGAUCGGGGUCCUGUUCAUCCAGAGGCAACGCCCGGGUCCUGUUCAUCCACUCCNNNNNNNNNNNNNNNNNNNNNNNNNNNNNNNNNNNNNNNNNNNNNNNNNNNNNNNNNNNNNNNNNNNNNNNNNNNNNNNNNNNNNNNNNNNNNNNNNNNNNNNNNNNNNNNNNNNNNNNNNNNNNNNNNNNNNNNNNNNNNNNNNNNNNNNNNNNNNNNNNNNNNNNNNNNNNNNNNNNNNNNNNNNNNNNNNNNNNNNNNNNNNNNNNNNNNNNNNNNNNNNNNNNNNNNNNNNNNNNNNNNAUCUAGAGAGGCAUCAUCUAUUGGCUUCAGUUAGCAGCAGUAUCGAAGGAAUCGCUUGACCGGGUUCAGUUAACAACCAUCAAUUAAUCGCUCAAGUUCAGUAACGCGUAGCCUGCAGUGCAAUCGCUCGGGUUCAGUUAGAGCCCAACGCCUCGCUCGGGUUCAGUUAGAGCCAACGCCUCGCACACACAUGCGUACGUGUACGAGAGAAACUGUCGUAGAAAGGUCACGACAGAUGUCCUGGCAAAAGGACUUAGUCAUGGAGCCAUCGCAACUGGGAAGCUUAAAGGGGUUAAAACGGGACAAAGGACACUGGAGUUUAUACUGGUUCGGCCCCUUGCGGUGAAGGUAAAGGUCUAAUCCAGUUUGAGAUGGUAUUGCUUAUGUCUCAAUUACCGGGGAGCGAAACCCACUUGACCUAGUUGUCGAUUUGAUGUUACUUGUCCUGAACCGCUGUCGGGUCGUCCCUUUAUAUAUAGAGGUCGGCGCCCAGCGGCUCACGGGGUCCCGGACGGCUCAUAAACAGUGUCCGGCUCGGUGACUAUCUAUUCCUGCCUUACAAUACAAGUCAUAUACAUACGGCAGUUUAUCUCUACGGGCCUUAAGCCGCCUUUGGGCCUUGGGCCCUUAACUGAACUUCCAUCUUCGAGUGUCAUCUUGGGCUUCAUCUUAUGAAUCGCCUAAGGUAUAACCCGGCCCCUCCUGGGCAGGUCAUACCUAAUAGUUAUACCUCCAAUAAAAAGGCUAGAUUUUUAUUUGGUCAAGUAGUCUAACCAACCCCCCUCUAGACAUACUUUCGAUCCUAUAGGAUCAAACUGAAGCACGACGUAUAGUUCGGCGCUCUAAACCAUACAAGGUACAUGGGGGUGAACUCUAUAAGAAGAGUACCACAAGAGUCUUACAUAGGCGCAUCUCCAAAGAAAAGGGGCAGUAGCUCUUGGCUACACGCGGGCAUGGGCGGACACCACACGGCAGCUUGGGUUUUGGUCAGCAAGGCUUUCCGUGCAGGUUUCUUCUAGCCUACCGCCCAUGAAGAUGCCCGGACAUUAGUCUAACAUUGCGUAGGAUGCCAGUUGUUCGCAAAUCAAAGCCACAUGCCCCCCCAAGCUCUUCGGACGAUACCAAUAACAUGGCCUUUCUCGGUCUAGGGCCUCCGGUCGGGCCACUCAAAGGGGGGACAAACAAAAAGAAGUACCUAUUGGUCCUGGUCGACAAAUUCACCAAGUGGAUCAAACCAAGGCCCAUCACUUCGGCAGAAUCUCGACUGGUCGUCGACUUCUUAUCCGACAUCGUACACCGUUAUGGUGUCCCCCACAACAUAAUUAUCGAUAAUGGUACCAACUUCACCACCCAGGAAGUUAAAGACUGGUGCGGCAAAAUGGGCAUUAAUCUCGAUUACGCCUCGGUGUACCACCCACAUACAAACGGACAGGUCGAGCGAGCCAAUGGGCUCAUUAUGAGCGGCAUUAAGACUCUCCUAGUCCGAUCACUUAAACAAUCAGACUGCCAUUGGGUCGAGAAACUUGAUUCCAUACUAGCGGGGCUACGCAGUACUCCUAACCGGUCAACCGGAUACACACCAUUUUUUAUGGCAUACGGUGCGGAAACUGUCCUCCCAUGCGACCUUAUCCAUGACGCGCCUAGAGUGCGCAUGUAUGAAGAAAAGGAAGCCGAGCUGGAUCAGCAGGAUGAUUUGGAUGCUCUGGAAGAAAAACGGGAUAUAUCUCGAGCUCAAUCCACGUUCUAUCAACAGCAAGCACAACGUUACCACAACCGUGAAGUUAGGGCGAAUACAUACAACGUGGGGGAACUGGUCCUCUGACUCCCCGAAAAACAGAAGAAUAAACUAUCACCCAAAUGGGAGGGACCGUACAUCAUCGAUGAAGUACUCAUAGGAGGAGCAUAUCGCCUUCGCCGUCCAUCUGAUGACUGCCUCGAGCCGAACCCAUGGAACGCAGCUCGGCUGCGGCGUUUUUACGCUUGAGUUUGACAUACAUGCCUACCUUUUCCUUCUUUUUAUUUUUCCUUUCUUUCUUUUCGACAUGGUAAGAGUCCGGUUAAACCAAACCAUACCAAGAUCAUAUUAUAUACAUCAUUGAAUGUAACACCCAGCCUUGCCUGGGGGCUCCCUCAAAUGAGGUGAAUAAUGUGUAAAUCGCAUUCGUACCGAUUGCAUCCUUCUCACACAUGUUAAGCCAACACAUGCACUUAUUUGACUUAAGAUCUUUGCCAAGAUGGGUUGCCUGGCUCGUGUGUUUACCCAUACGUUCCCGAUUGUUUGGCUAGGGAGUAAAGGGAGCACCUGUACGAUUGUUACAACUGGGUCAUCCGGGACUGUACCUCGGACGGGUGAAGCUGAAAGCUAGCGUUCUUACAGAAUACAAUAAGUCGGCCUAAGGGAAGUGAAUAUAGCCUCGCGCUUAUCACCAGGGUUUUUUCGCGACCAUUGGUUUCUGUUGAUCCUACGUAUCAGGAUUAUAAUCUUACCCGAAGAAAGGAACCCUUGGAUGAACUAUUUUCAUCAGAAGAUGUUUCUUAUGUCAAACAGUAAUAUAACAUAACUCUCCACACAUGUUUCGUCUGUUUGAGCUAGAUGGACGGAUUGCCUGGUUCCCGAAGUAUUGCCUUGUUUCCCAAAGCACAUAGUAUGGAAACUUCCCGAUCACUGAUCGGGGAGGUAGAAGCCGAUGGUCAGUUAAGACAACAUUCUUUAAAUUAACAAUAAGAACGUGAAUCGAGCUCGGUCAACGUAAAGUACAUAGAUACGUAGAGUUGACAAAACUAUUCUUGAUCGACAUUGCCUAUCAAUUGCUCUAAAGCACAAUCCUUCUGAGAAUAGCGAGCAACUGGCAUCACAUCAUCAUACACCAAGCUUAGAGGUAUCUCUUGGCCGUCAAGGGCCACGGGACCAACCCAGGCCAUAUGUACCUGAUCUAGCUUGGUGAAGUGGGUCUUUACCAUAGCCCACACUUCACGCGCCCCUUCUCGGCAGGACAAAGUCUUCCAUAAUUAAAACCUUCUCCGAGCUCCCUUAAAGCGACUGGCUAGUUCGGCCAUACCUUCGGGCGGCACAUCUAACGGCCAUAACACCUUCGCCAUGCUCUUCAUGGCUUUCCGGGCCUUCUCGUAAGUCUUCGACAGCUCCUUUAAAAGGUUCCCGUCAUAAGUGCUUGCUUCUUCCUCAGGCCGCCCAGUCAGGAGACGUAACAAGCAGGUGUUGCACAUCAUCAUUAACACAUCAAUGAUACUUGCCAACGGAAUGGUAAGAUCAGCGCUUACCAAAUAUGCACCUUUUAGCUUCUGGAUUUCCUCCAAAGCUUGUGCCACCCGAGUUUUUAAAAUCCUAAUUUCCUCGGCCUUCCGCUGAUUCUCCGCCUUGAGCUCAUUUUUCUCCUCCUGACUUUGCAUCAGCACUUGUUUUCCAGCCUCCAGCUCCCUCCGCAACUCGCUUACAAUUUCCGCGGCUAUACAGAGAAAAUGGUGUUAAUGCAUAGAAUACACCGUAUACUUGUGAAACCAUUUUUUCUACUUACCGGACAACCUGCUACUCGCUUUUCGAGCCGCAUCCAGUUCAGCUUUGGUUUCGACCAAUUGUGUCCGGCUCGCCUCAAGGUCCUCGGACAGAUUUUUGCUCUGGUCUCUUGCGGCCUACAAACAUAAUAUCAUUAGACACCCUUAACUCGGCAGUCCUGCCCAAAUUAAGGCUUGGGGCCUAGCUGGUUAGGGAACAUGAUCUGCUUUCAAGCUAUUUUGGUUAUAUACCUGCACCUUGGCGGCAAAAAUACCGGCGAUCCCUUCAAGACCUGGUCGGGCCGCUCCAAGGUAUGCAUCUACCGAAUUAAAAACACUAAAUUCUUGUUCGGCAAAGGCAGUAUGACGCAAAGUCUCCCUCCGGCAGCGAUGAUUCAUUACGCUCUCGACUUUAGAGUUGGUGACCGAAACAUCAUUGGAGUCUGCCGGAGGCGCGCUGGCUGCCGCGUGUUCGGAGGAAGCUCUGGCUUGUGCCGAGGACUUAGGACCGGAGCUGUGAUUUGGCACACCUGGGGAAUCUUUGGACUGGUGCAAAGGCAUACGCCUUCUACAAAAUGGAGCAAGCUUCAAUAAAAGGGUACUAAGAGCAACCCUCGCUGUAAUUCUGAAAUGCGUUACCUCUGGGCCAAGGAGGCAGGUGCUUCCGCUUCGACGGAGGCUUUCCGCUUUGACCUCCCAUUAGAGGCCGAAGCUGGCGCGCUCCGCGCUCCUCCCAAGACGGUCUUUCCUGUAGUGCGGCGACCCUUGGGAGCAGAAGUCAGCACGUGGGGAGUAGCGCGAGAUGAGCGCCCUGUUCGGGAGAGGGUCUUCUUUUCAGUUACUGUGGAAGAGGGAAGAGCCCCAGGGUGAUCGGCUAUCACAACAACCUUGAUGCCAUCAGGGCUCUCCUGAUAAAACACCCCGUCUUCAAAAUCAAUCGACGUCUCUAGGUCGUCAUGGUACCCCAGAUCGUCAUCACGGGAAUGAUCCUCCGGCUGAGGAGGAGGGCAAUUAAUGGACGCAACCUGACGCCUCCAACCAUGAUCAAAUACAACUAGUCAGAGUUCGGGUGUAGCCCAUGAGCUCAAAGACAAUGGAUCGUGGCUUACCCAGUCCGUCGGAUUGUAUCGGGCGCAACCUUCCCGGAUACUCAUUCGAGCAAAAUCUGCCUCCUCUCCCUUGAAGAGCUCGGCCAAUAUUUUGGCCAGAGCCGCCUUAUUGUCUAGCCCUUGUCGCUGGUAGUGGGUUACGUCGUUGGUCCCAUUGUAGAACCAUAAAGGAUGACCCCUUUGCUGCAGGGGUUGCACGCAUUGGGUAAUUACGAUGGGCAUUACUUUGAUCAUGGUCAGCUUGCUACUAGUUAGCAGCCUGAUCUUGGCCGCCAGCAUAAGCACCUCUUUGAUGUCCUGUUGGGACGGGCCUCUGUGCCGCGAGUUGAACCGUUUUAUAGGUGGGUUGUUGGAGUAUUCGGGUAGCCAUUGCCGAAUUGGAUCGGUGAGAGGAACAUAUUCAAUAUAAAACCACUCCGAGGUCCAUCCUUCAGGAUCCUUUUGUGGGGUCCCAAUUGGGUACCCUAUCCCAGCUAUUCGCCAUACUUCGGCGCCGCCCACCUCGAAUAUGGAUCCCUCUCGGAGGCGGGGGGACAAGACAGAAAAACUUCCUCCACAAGUCAAAGUGGGCCUCGCAACUCAAAAUUAUCUCGCACAGGGCUACAAAGCCAUAGAUGUGCAAUAUGGACCCCGGAGUGAGGUUGUGGAGCUGGAUCCCGUAGAACUCCAACAAACCCCGUAAAAAGGGAUGGAUAGGAAAGCCCAAUACUCUUAGAAGGAAGGGCACGAGGCAUGCCCUCUUCUCCCUACUCGGAGCGGUGGAGUUCUCGGCGAGGGCGCAGCAAUCAAUGGAGAUGAGACCGGCACGGACGGGGACCAAAUCUGCUGGAGGGAGGAAGCAUUGCGUCUGCAAGCGCCUCAGAUGAAAGUGUGAAAUUGAACAGCUCAACCAAUCGCCUCGGAGUGGGUCGUGCGGGCGCGAGGAUGAACCUGGGAGGUCAGCCAUGGCGCCGAGGAAUUUCUUUGGUGAUUUUUCUUGUGAGAGGGGGGAAGUGAAUCGUCCCCCGUACCUUUGGAUCUAUAAAUGGGUGUCUUACCUUGAAGCUGGAAGGACGGGCUCGUGGAAAGUUGGCAUUAGGCCGCACGCCUUCUAAAAAGGUGCACGAUGCUCUUGCCCCGGGGAAUGGCAUUAAACUCUGAUGGUCCCACCUCGAUCUCACGAUAUCUUCGAAGCCCAGAAUCUUGACAUGUCCGGGCCUGAGCACUUUAGUCCGACUUCCAGAUAGGGUUCGGCGAGAUUGAUACGUCUCCAAACUGAAUAGAGGAGUGGAAGAACUUGUCUCGCAAGCCGACGAUCUGAAGAUUCCGUAGGACAAUCCCCGGUGUUGGAGGCAAGUUCGGGGGCUACUAAGGGAGUUACGGACUAAGGGGUCCUCAAGGCGCCGGCCCAUCAAUAUGGGCCGGACUGGUGAAGUCGUACAGCAACGAGAGAUUUAUGAAGUCGUGGUGUGCCCUCCAAGUCAAGGAUAGGCAGAUCUCUUUAUUCCUUAUUGUAAUCUAUCUCCGGUAACCCUAACCCUAUUGGUGCCUAUACAAACCGAGGAUUGUAGUCUUUAGUAGGGCCAUUCAUUACCUCAUCGCCUUAGGGUUUAGCUCAUGCUGAUCUCGAGGUAGACCUACCGUGUAAACCAUACUAUACAUCCAAUAUAAUCAAGCAAAACGUAGGGUAUUACCUCUUCGAGAGGGACCGAACCUGGGUAAACACUGUGUUCGUCGUCCCUUAUUCCCCAUCGAUCCUAGAUCCACAGCUCGGGACCCCCUACCCUGAGGUCUGUCGGUUUUGACAUCGACACUAGGGUUGCGGGCGCCGCCCGGGUUAAAUAGACGAAUUUGGUCUCGAGUGACGAGCCGGAGCGGUGCCACGUGGCGUUCACACCACAGCGACGAAGGAGGCGUCCGUCAGAUCAUCGGGUUUCCAGACGAGUCCGUGUGAGACCCCUUCGUCUAUGUGACGGGCGCGCCCGGGCGUCCCAAUAUCCGCCUCGUAUUUGGGUUGGAUAUGAGAGGUGCCGGCAGUCCAAAUGUUUGAGGUUUGAGGGGCCGUCUAGGUCAAAAAUCGUGACCGGGCGGCCUGCCCGAACGUAUGAGCCGGGUUUGGGGCGUCCGGUUGCAGAUGUUUUAAGGGAGUCCCCGAUUUUGAGAUUUUAGUGAAACUGCUGAACUUAGGAUGAAAAGCCGGCCACAGCAGCACUCGGUCCACUUCUCCCGCGACAACCGCAAAAGACGGCGGCGGCCAUGCCUCGUUCCAAACCUUGACAUACGCCAUCGUUUAUACCAACGCCCCGACAUUAUGACCUCUUUGUUUCUAUCACCGCCCUUGCCGCUAAAACCACACACAUCUUUGUAUGCUUCUGCUCGCGACGCCCAUAUUUAUAUAUCCGCGAAUAAUCUGUAACACUACACACACGAGCUUCGACUAUCAAGUAGUAGGAGCAAGAAAUACCAGUCGAGGUAGCACAACAGGUAUCCCUCGGUUUUCUGCAACCAUGAGCAAGCCACUCCUCGAGCUGAUGGCGGCCGUGGACGCCAGCCCUGUGGCCGCGGAGGACGACGGGGCUAACUUGGUAUCCCGACGCCGUGCGAGCUACGGCCGCAGCCGACAGACCGUGCCGGUGGUGGCGCCGCAGACCCGGCCCGCGUCGUCGACGGAGACGGACUCCAGCUUCGAAUUCAGCGCCGUGAUCAGCAACAGCUCGGCGUCGCCCGCCAGCAUGGUGUUCUCGGACGGCCAGCUCCGGGCGCACCAGUUCCCCGCCGUGCGGUCACCGGCGGGCUGCAGCCAGGUCGCGUCGCCGGUGCUGGGCUCAUCCGUGGGUGGCACGACCGGGAGCAAGAAGCGUGUCAGCUUCGCGGCGGAUGGUGCCGGGAAGAAGUCCAGCGGCGCGCAGAAGAAAGGCGGCGGCGGCAUGCUGGGGUGCAUCGGGUCAGCGUGCGGGCUGUCUCGUGACGAAGUGGUGGAGCCGACCAUCAACGCUAAUCGUAAGGUUGUGUGUGUUUGAUUGUUGAAUUUGGCAGUAAGUGAUCUUGCGUAUGCGCGCUAACUUGUGCAUUCCAGUUCGUGUUGUUUGGUCCGCCCUGCUUUGAUUAAUCUUCCUUUGUCGUCACGGCCUCACGGGUGAUGGAGUCAUCAAGACACCUAAAUUUCUUUCGUCUCCCCCUCAUUUGUUCAAAUGUAUCACGUAUACAAAUCCCCAAACGCAGCCCUUAUGUGGGGAGGAAAUGGGGUGUCCAGGCAUGUUCAGCCAGCCACGUUAAACACAGUCCAACCCAGACCACUUUCGCUCUUUCUUUGUCUCUCUUCAUCUCCACCAAUUAUAUGCACGUGUCCGUAUAAUUUUGGGGGACAUGGCUGUGUGCAUGGAUAAAUGAGCGUCCAGAGCGGAUACAUCUUGCCAAUGUCCACAGACAAAUGAGGGGCCAAAUUAGCCUAGCCCGGCUGAAAAUGCUCUACUAACCGAAAUAUAGAGAAACUCCAUUGAACAAACUAAUUUAAUUGGUUCCUAAAAUAUCUAUAACAAGAAUGGAUCACAUCACAAGAAAGGCCACAAAGAAGCACGACUACUCGACUAGGCGUGGCUCUAGAGAUGUAAUGUGGUAGGCCGGUCGAGCAUGAUAUAACAAGACAACUAAGAGUGGAGCAAACAUGAUCACAAUGGCUUAACAUGAUCAUUUGUAGUACUGUGUUUUUACAACUAACUUGCUUUCUGACUUACUGGCUGAAGAGCAAAGAGACAUCUUUUUUGUUCAUUCUUUUUUCUUUCCUGGCUCUUAUCGCUUCAAUGGCCCAGCUCCGGUGGAGAGGCUGUCACUGAUCUGAAAAGUAGUCUAUAGUUCAGAUAGACUAAUUCUGCAAAUGCCUAACCCCUGGAAUCAAUUUCAAAAAUUAAGCGUCAAGUUUCCAUAGCAAGUCGUGGGUAUUUAGCUAGUUAUAAGGCUAAUCUAAUUGCCGUUGAUCAUCUAUCUGUACCAAAAAGGAUCACGUCAGAGUUCGCGAGGAAGCACGGCCAAGUGUGGCUCUAGAGGUGUAAUGCCAUAGGUCAGAACAUAAUGUAACAGCACAGCAAGACGUAGCACAAACAUGAACCCUUCACAAUGGCUUAGCAUGAUCAGUUAUGGGUAUUUUUUGGUAGCAAAUCACGGGUACUUAGCUACUAAAACCUAAUUCAACUGCCGCCGGUCAUCUAUGCCAUGACCAUAUUCUUUGCUUAUUUAGUCCAGAGAAUGUACAAAAUGAAGUCACGAGGUAACUGAAAUCAAACAUGCACUUCAUAAAGUCUCUGCAACAGCAAGAAUUUAGAAACACAUGAACCAGCAACUUGAUCUUUCAGUACCAGGCAUGAGGGAAAAAAACCACUUGGUUUCUUUGUCAGGAAAGGUCAUAACAGUAUGUUGAACAGCACACCUAACAAAUGCACAAUCUUAGCUGCCAACCUCAGGUUUGUGAUGCUAUACCAGUUACCCACAGAACCACUCUGGUCUUUUGGACAGUUCGAGCAAACCUCAGACGAGAAACAGAAACUGAUUCAACGCAAAUUUUAAAAAGCAGGGUUUAAACAAUAUUGUAAAAAUAGAACUAUCUUCUCAGUGCAAUGGUAACCUCUAUUUUUGUAUGUCCUUCUACCUCCAUAUUGUUAGUUUAUCACCCAACCAUUAUGCAUGAAUAUGACACAGUAGCAGGUAUGCGGAAGUACCAGAAAACAAUCCACCAUGAAAGAACAGUAGCACCUACUGACUGUGGAAACUAAGUAAGAAACAUCAAUAACAUCAACCAUUGCUAGCUUCAAUGUCAUAGACAGCCACAAGCCAACAAACACCAUCAACACACAUUGCUGGUAGCUCUGGCCUAUCUGUCGCUGUGUCGCGUGAAAGGAUAUCAGAAAUUUCACAAAAAGAAGACAAACAUGACUAUGUUAUAAAAUGUAAAUAUUGGCGAGCCUUGUAUGUUAUCAUAAAAUAAGCAUUGAAGCAAAGCCUGCCAAAUUAGUACCAUUUUCAAUCUAAUAAACUACUACUUCCGUCCCAUAAUGUAAGAUGUUUUUUGAUACUAGUGUAGUGUCAAAAAACGUCUUACAUUAUGGGACGGAAGGAGUAUUACAUUCACUCAGCUUUGACACAGCUAAACCUUCUUCAUUCAUAUAAACUCCAUGCUGGUUUUCCUAAUGCAUCCUCAGCCAUCUUUCUAGAUGAAAAGAAAUAUUCUUGAAAGCUAGCAUAAAGCAUAGGUAGAAGAAACUGAAGCUUCACGAUUUAGUAUUUGGUAAACUGCACUUCUCAUCUAGCAACACAUGACCAACUAAAUUAAAAUGACUUAAUUCUGUAUGCAGACAUAGCUGCAUAGUGCACACCUAGCAUUGCAAUCGGGUAGUCUUCAUUGGAAUGCCAACUACUAGUAGUACAUGUUACUAUGUUAGUUGUUGUUUUGGGUGCAAAACUAGCAGCUCCAUUCAGUCAUCCAAAAAUUGACUAUCAUUGAUCUAUUGUAAUUUAGAAAAACAACUGUAGUUUAAAGUUACAUAAAUACCUAAAAACACUUAUAAAAGUAUGCAUGUGGCCUUUUAGAAGACAAUAUGUGCCUAUUUUCAACCCAAAAUAGAUGGUAUGUACGUAGUAUUUACUUAAUCAGCUCAGCAAUAUACUAUCCUCUCUGUACAUAAAUAUAAGACGUUUUAGAGACUUGACAGAGUCUCUAAAACGUACUAUUCAACAGAAUGAAACCUAACUAAGAACUAACGCAAUCCAAGUGCAUAAGGUUAAAAUGGACCAAAGCAAACACUGCUACACCAGCCAAACAGAACAAACUCAACACAGAAGGAACAAGCAUACAAUUGGCACCAUUGCUACGAAUAUUCAUUGGUACAAUCUGCUUGCAAUCUACUGCAGCCAGUACAGAUGACCUGACGAAUCAUUCAUGCACACCUUAAGGACAAUGAUGCACCCCUGACAGGCUGAUAAUAGCUUAAAGUUUGUAGCAAGGUACCAUGUUCAUGAAACAAACAUCAAUUCCCCAUCUCAUAGGCAUCUCUAAUAAAGUAGUAGUAGUAACAAUACAUAAUCCCCAACGAAAUGCCAAAAUAGCAGCACUUCCAGGUGGAUCAAGGCUCGGGGUCAGCACCUUAC
Molecule: long non-coding RNA, 72362 nt
Filed under: Triticum aestivum (bread wheat)
Lineage: Eukaryota; Viridiplantae; Streptophyta; Magnoliopsida; Poales; Poaceae
Description: long non-coding RNA (TAES_LNC022173)
Rfam family: MIR1120/MIR1122 microRNA precursor family (bases 71251-71337)
Source: RNAcentral